AAAACUUCAAAAAUCCUUUUGUGAUUUCUUUUCACUUUAGUACCCUGUGGUUUAAAAUGUAUCAAGUUAGUACCCUGUGGUUUUUCACUUUAUCACUUUAGUACCCUGUGGUUUAAAAUGUAUCAAGUUAGUACCCUAUGGUUUUGCACUUUAUCACUUUAGUAUUCUGUGGUUUUAAUUUUGCAUCAAGUUAGUAUCCUGUGGUUUUUUAAACUAUAAGGUACUAAAGUGAUAAAGUAUGAAACCAUAGGGUACUAAAGUGAUAAAAUGCAAAACCACAGAGUAUUAACUUAAUACACUUUAAACCACAGGGUACUAAAGUGAUAAAGUGAGAAACCAUAGGGUUCUAACUUGAUACACUUUAAACUAUAGGGUAUUAAAAUAAAAAAGUGUGAAACCACAUGAGGGUUUUUAAAGUUUUCUCCUUUUUUUUUUUCUAUUUUUAAAAAUCUGGCACUGCAGUAAUAUGGCGUAAAUGUCCAUGGGGCCUGGGUUAAUUAAGGUGGGAACGUGAAGAGGACACUGGGCUGCGGGGCCCAGCUCAUCCAGCCAUUCAGCAUACUCGCCGCUAUAAAUAUGAAACUGUGGAUAGACCUUCCGCCGUCUGCUCUCGCAACGUCAGUCUCCAAGUUUGGCAUCGAGCUGAGGUUGUUACGACAUCACCUGCAAUUAUUGAGCCAUUUCACUAAUAGUGAUCGCCAUCGAAAGUUAGAAAAAGCCAUUGGCUUUAGACACCAAAAUACGCACGCAGACACACCAACUAGAACACGGACGUCAAUCGCAGCCGUCCGACGGAUUCCAGUGGCAAGAGUCACAAACCGAAAACGGUAGAGAUUAAAUCAGAGCUGCACAGCGCCAAAUUGUGAAUGAGAAAUACUGCCUCCACAUCCAAAAACAGAGUAUAAGCUUUGCGUUCUCGUCAAAGUGUUGAAAUAAUUAUUUUAAAAUCUUUAUUAUUAAUAAUAAGAAAAACUGCGGUAAAAUUAGUAAUAUGAUAAAAUUAAAAUUUGGAUGAGUGAAAUGCAAAAUUUAUUUUUAAUUUUUAGUCUACAAAUUGUAUUGCUUAGAAUACUGUAUCACAUACGGUUUUUUUUACUUUGCCCGAAAUGAAUGGCCAUUCUUUUGCGACUACACUUUUCUUUUAUUUGUCACCGUCUUUUAAAUUUUCUUUUCCUUUCUUAUGUUUUAUAUUUUACGGCUUUUGUCGUCGGUGUGCGUGCGUGAUCAGAAGAGGAGAAGCGGGGACGAAAUGUGGCGUCGCCGGCACGCAAAUCAUCGCGGUCUACUUCCCAAUCCCUAUCUAUACGGGCAAUCUUUAUUCCAUUCCAUCCAUCACUAAUUAGCAUAUCGCUCCCGAUUCACGUGUUGAGAAAUUUUUUUUUUAAAAAAUACCGGUACAGGUAGCUAGCUCACUCCCGGUACCAAUACCGCUAAUCCUUGUGCUGCUGUCCUUCCGCGUCCCUCGUCUCGCCCGCUGUUCAGACUUCAGAAGAAAAAGCGCAGGGGGAGAGAGAGGAGAAAGAGAAAGGGGGAUCAAUCACCGACGUCCUUUUUCCUUGUUGUAUUUCUUUAAUAUUGCUCAUUAAAUAUCUAUCGAUCUAUCUAUUAUUAUUAUUAUUAUUAUUAUUAUUAUUUUGUUUUUGACAGGGAAACUUUUCUUCAGAGGGCAGGGGCGUUCGCUCCCCCCUCUUAAUAGUAGUGCUAUAAAUAAAUAGAAAUGUAUAUGGUAAUAAUAACAAUAACAAUAAUAAUAAUUCUGGAUAAUAAUAUUCAAAAGGAGUGGAGGGAGGGACAGGGUUCACCAAGGCUAGGCUAGGCUAGGCUCUCCGGGGAGUGCUGCUGUGUUUGCGCCUCGGAUUUUCGGCGGGAAGGGUCAAAAUUGAAGAGGGUGUUGGGGAUCUCCGAAUUCAGGUCGGGUUUUGUUCGAAACCACUCUUGCUUGCAAUCAUUCCCUCUUUCUUCGGUUGUUUGGUUUGUCAAAAGAAACGGAAACGGCCAGUGAAGAGUGGUGAAAGAUUUAAGUGGCCUUCUUCUCCUCCUCCUCAUCCUCCUCCUCCUCCUCCUCCUACUACUUAUUAUUAUUAUUAUUAUUAUUAUUAUUAUUAUUAUUAUUAUUUUCUUCUCUUCUGUUUUUGCUUUUCUUUUCCUUCUAUAUAGUUAGUUACCUGUUCUAUUUGAUGUUUCGAACUCGGAGAUUAUCUAUGCAUGCGAGUCUCUGCGUCUCAAAUCUAGCACUAUCAGAGCUUUACAGUUUUGAGUGCUCGAUGAUAAAUAAAGUGAUUUAGUAUGCGAAUGAAAUUUUUCGCCUUGAAUUUCUGGAGUAGUAAAUAGAGCGCUAAAUUGAACUGUUGAAUUCGGUUGCCUUUGUAAUAGUAAUAUCCCCUUCAAAAGUUUGGAAGUUCAAAUUACAUGCCAUUACCGUGGCUUAACUUCUGAUGAUUGAUUAUACUUUCGCUCCUGUUGCUUAAACAGGAAAAUUGUUUUGAUCUUCUGUGGCCAAAUUGUUAUCAUCUUGCUCAAUCUUUCUGGGCUUAUUUAAUAAAAUAUGUUAACUUCUUGAGUUUAGUAGAAGAGAUGGUUGAGUUCUAUGCAAAGAGUCUUGAGGGAGUCUGUUUGAUUCCUUGUAUUUGUAUACUUGGUGUGUUAAACAGUGUGUCAGAAGACAAGACUCUGGUGAUACUUCUGGUUAUUCUUAAUUCUGCUUCAAUUUUAAAGCAUGGUUGUAAAUCAGCGAUUGGUACUACAAAAAUAGAUUCUAACCAUACUCAAGUAGUGUAGAUCAUGUUUAACUGUGCCGAUCGUCGAAUUGGAAGCUCCAUCAUCGAAAAUAAAUCGGUAGCAAUGGAGCCCACUUGCUACUGAUAGUCUUCUAACUCAACUAUAUAUAUAUAUAUAUAUUCCUGGAACUCAUGAUCCAAAACCAAUCAGCUUAUAAUGCAUUAGAUUUUUCAGCAGAAAAUUAUAAUCAAAGUUUAUACUAUUGAUAACUUCUCAGGAUGGAAGGUGCUAAGUCAUAUGCAUGGCGCCGUGCUCUUAUCUGGGUACUGAUAUUUUUGAAAGUGGAAGGUUAUUUUGUGGAUAUCACAUAUGUCGAAGACGCUGUAGCAAAAGGGGCAGGUAAAUAAUCGUGCCAAUAUCCAAAUGCUCAUUCCAAUUGAGUUGGUAUCAUUACUGGUAUUUCCUUUUGUCUUUUAAAAAUGUUAACCACAUCAAAUACUUUGGUGUGAACUGGGCUACUUGAUUUGUUUCUUUUCUGGUUUAUUUUCUAAGCUGUCUCUUCUGUUUUGCCCAUAAUCCACCUUCUUUUUGAAUAAAAAUGCAGUUUGUUUGGAUGGAAGCCCACCUGCAUAUCAUCUGUCCCCAGGUUUUGGGUCAGGGGUGAACAAUUGGUUGGUUCAGAUUGAGGUCAGUAUAUCAUAUUGUACUAUUUGGGUCAAUCAAAGAGUGAACUUGUUUGUUUCUAAUUGAUAUUUUGCAAUCUCUUUCUUUGUAAUAAUUACUUUAUCACAUUUAGUUGGAAUUUGUUUCCCUUCAAAUCUCAGGGAGGAGGAUGGUGCAACAAUGUUACGACUUGCCUGGCGCGCAAGGUUACACGUUUAGGAUCCUCUAAGCAAAUGGUGAAGCAGCUGGCAUUUUCUGGAAUCCUAAGCAACACUCCUCCAUUUAAUCCAGGUUUGUCCUAUGAUAGCUAUCUGUUCGUUACAAGAGGAACCGGCAAAUUUCUUUCUGUUUCUGAAUUCCUUUUGGUAGCAAUAUGUUCCUUUUGUGAUUCCAGAUAUUGUGACUAAUGGGCUUGCCUUAGCUAGUUGUUAUAGCCUUUAAGGACAUGUAUAACUCCCUCUUAACCACAGCAUUUAACAUAUCAUAGAAUGCCGUGUGCUUGAUUACAUGAGCAGGUCAAAGAAAAACUUUAUUAAUUCGAUUUUCUCCCACACGUGACUUGAAGCUUUUAACACCUAAUAAAAAGUGAAGAAACUUGAGAUUAUGUAGUAGUAUGAGUUCUAAACUGAUAUGCACAUUGUUCUGUAUUCUUUCUUGUGUUGGCUGGACUGCCAUUCCCAGAUUUCUAUAAUUGGAAUAAGGUCAAGGUUCGUUAUUGUGAUGGUUCAUCAUUUACUGGUGACGUAGAAAGAGUAGAUCCUGUGAGUCUCACGUACCUUGAUUUCUCAUCUCUUUUUAUUUAUUUAUUUUUUCCUGUUGCGACUUCGCAAUAGUCUAGUCAUUAUUAGGUACAACAUCAGAAAUAUUCAUAGAUUAACUUUUGCUUUUGUAUGGGCAUAUAAGUAGGUAACCAAUCUUCACUACAGAGGAGCAAGGGUGUGGCUUGCUAUUAUGGAGGAUCUGCUUGCCCGAGGAAUGGACAAGGCUGAGAAUGUGUGCUUCCUGUGAAUCCUAACUUUCCCUUUUAAAAAAGAGAAGAAAAUUACAAGAGUAGUCUUUAGAAACUUUAAAUUCUCGCAGGCUCUUCUUUCUGGGUGUUCAGCUGGUGGGUUGACAUCCUUACUUCACUGUGAUAACUUUCGUGCACUUUUACCAACGGGUGCCAAUGUAAAAUGCCUCUCUGAUGCCGGUUAUUUUAUUAAUGUGUAAGAUCCUUUUUAAUCUUUUUCCUUCUUAGUCAGAAGUUCUUUUUCUAUGUAUAAGAUUCCUCAAAUCCACAGAGUAGGCUUGUUGAUCAUAUCUAUCUACAAGCUUACCAUCUCAAGUUGCUUAUGACUCUAUUUUCUUAUCUCUUCUUAACGACAGGAAGGAUAUUACUGGAACAGCUCACAUUGCUGCAUUCUUUGAUGAUGUGGUGACAACACAUGUAUGCCAUAGAUUGAUUUUGAAUUCCGAUGAAAAGUUUACAGGGGAUUUGCAAUUUGUAGCCAAUGUACUUGAUUCAACUCUAUUUAUUUCUGAUGUUUGUCCAUUGCUUAUUCGUUUCAUGACCUGUAGGGCUCGGCAAAGAAUUUGCCAUCUUUUUGCACUUCAAGAAUGGCUCCGGGCUUGGUAAGUACAUUUGUACAUCAAACAUGAACUUCUUACUUUAGAGAAACCAUGCUGUCUUGUCAGCACAUUUUUCUGCAAUUGCAGUGUCUUUUUCCCCAGUACUUGGUGCAGCAGAUACAAACGCCACUCUUUAUAUUAAAUGCGGCAUAUGAUUCAUGGCAGGUUAGCUUCUUAUCAUUGAUGCUAAUGUAUUUAUAACAAGAAUGUAGAGAGAAUGAACUUAACAAAAUAUCUUUGUUAACUCAAUUUUUCGGAUAAUUUAUUUACUUCUUUGAAAUGGUGAUUGAGCUUUUUAUCUUGCCGUUUGUAGUAGGAGAGACUCAUUUUUCUGUAGAUGGUUAAUGUAAAAUUUCUUCAGAUACUUUAUUUUUUUUGUCAUGUAUUCAUAUAGUGAGAAGUGCGUACGUAACUACUAUAGGUGCUUCUCCAUUUUAGAUAAAGAAUAUUUUGGCACCGGGUGUUGCUGAUCCCCAUGGUACUUGGCAUGACUGUAAGCUUGAUAUAAAACAGUGCUCUUCAUCUCAACUUCAAAUCAUGCAAGGUUAGUGCUCUCCGAUACAGCCAGUUGCUCUAAUUGUUAUGCUGUAGGAACUUGUAGUGAGGUGGAGCUGUUAAGCAUUAGAAUAGUGUUUGAAAUUCUGUGUGAUGGCUUAGCAAAUGUUCAUACUGUUUUAACUUCUUAGCUGGCAUGGAGACCAAGGGAAUUCUGAUUGGUUCAGCAAAUCUCUGUACUAUUUUUAAUUUGGUGUAACAGGUUUCAGAACGGAAUUUCUGGACGUGUUGGCUGAACUUGGAAGCUCUUCAUCUAGAGGGAUGUUUAUAAACUCCUGUUAUGCCCAUUGCCAAUCAGAGAUGCAGGAGACGUGGCUCGCAUCCGAUUCUCCCAUGCUUCAAAAUACUGUAAGGCUUUCAACUUCAAACUAUCAAACCAUAAAGCAACUCCAAACCAUAAAACACCAGCCUAGAUCCUGCUUUUCUUCUGGUCUUCAAGCAUGCAAAAAAGACUUCAGACCUCUCAGAAUACUUUUAACUCUUUCCUUCGAUGAUGCUCUGAUGCCCUAUGUACCUUCCCUUUCUGUUCCACUCUUCUUUCUUUCUUCUUCUUUCUUACUCCUUUUUUCAACCUUUUGCCGCUCUCUUGGAGGCCCAAGCUGCCUCCAACUUGUAUGUUCAGUUCAUUUGACCUAAUGAAUGAAGCAGGUAGUUUGCUACCUAUUUUCUCAAAAAAAACUCUUUCCUUCGAUGCUUAAAGUCCCCCCCCCCUUCUUUUUUUAUUUUCCUUUUUUUCCCGUGCAGACAAUUGGAAAGGCUGUUUUUUAUUUUCCUUUUUUUCCCGUGCAGACAAUUGGAAAGGCUGUAGGAGACUGGUUUUACGGUCGCAGUGCCUUUCAGAAGAUCGACUGCCCUUACCCAUGUGACUCCACUUGCCAUAACCGCAUAUUUGAGGACUACUCGGCCGCAUAGCAAUUACAGUACCCUUGCCUCUUAUUCUCAUUCAUUAUAUUGUAUCUGUUCGAAUAAUUUAUGCUCAAAAUUGAGCAAUUGCUAAAGAAUAAUCUCUUCAAGAAUAACAAAAUGUAUAAGAAUUUGACUUCACGGGUACUUUCAAUCAAAGUUCUUUUAUUUGUCCGGCAGAUCUGCAUGAGAUUAAAUUCUUUAUUUCUGGGGUGUUAAGGACACCAUUUGAUAUCUAAAGAGAAACUUUGGUGAAAUAAAGCGAUGAUAUUCAGAUUAAGCUAAUCUUUAUAGAAAAUAUCAUAUUCACAAUAUUUACUACCACCACCACCCCCCGUAGAAGUAUAUAUCUAGUACAUGAGGAAGAAUUUAGAUGAUUUUCCCUGACAAAACCUUAGGCACCACUAUGCCUGCGUACGUAGCUACCUCAAAUGGAUCGCUACCGGUCUAACAAGUCAAUCAGCUGAGCCCAAACAAUAAAAUAAAAGAUUGUUAAGAUUCAGAUUUGGUAGGGGUGCGGCGCCAGGCCCAUGCAGCAGUGCGACGCAUGGGCGACGCGCGAGGGCCCCGGCAGCAAGCUACCGUGGGUUGAGCCCUCCGCCACAUAAUAAAAAUUAAUUUAAUAUCGAGGUGGGCGCAUGGCCCACGUAUCAGAUAUUAAACUGAAAAGAACAGAUACUACACUUGAUCUUAGCCAAAAGGCCGAAAAAGGUAUGCUUUGCUGCAUGGGCCUCGGUCCGCCCUUAAUUCCCACCGCCCGAUGAUAGCGGUUCACCGCUUUCGAUGUGGGACUUUUCCUUUCUCUGCUGUUGCCUGUUGCCUGUUGGCAUAGACGGGAACUAAAAGAAGACGAGAAGAAGGGAGGCGGUGAGAAGAUGAGACCCGAGCUCAAACUGCGUCGAUCCGACAUCCUCCUCUUCGAACGGGUCCGUUUGCCCCUGUGCUGGUUCUUCUAUGAGUAUGACUGCCUCCGGUCUCCAGUCUCCACCGCCUUGCUAGGGUUUUACUUGCAAUUUCCCAACCGCACCCAAAACCCAAACUAGUGACCUAAAGUAGUCCUCCACCAUUUCAUUUCUCUUCGAUCGCUCCUUCUCCUUCUCCUUCUCUCCGAGAUGGCGGCGUCGGGCAUGACCGGGCAGGGCUCGAGCUUGAAGAGGCGGGAGUCGACGGCGGCGACGAGGGAGGGGGAUCAGCUCAUUAUCACCCCGCUGGGGGCCGGCAGUGAAGUGGGCCGCUCCUGCGUCUACAUGUCCUACAAGGGGAAGAUCGUCUUGGUGGGUUGGGUUGGGUUGGGUUGGGUUGGGUUGUGUUGCAUUCUCGUUUGAGGGAGGUUUACGAACUAACUGAGUAUUUCUUUCGGAUUCUGAUUCUGGUUUACAGUUCGAUUGUGGGAUACAUCCGGCGUACUCCGGCAUGGCCGCCCUGCCUUACUUCGAUGAGAUUGAUCCUUCAACCAUAGAUGUGCUUCUCGUUACUCAGUAUGCCUUGCUUUCUCUUUGCUCUGUCUUUCAUUUCAUCCCAUAAGUACCCAAACUAUAUGUACACAUUAUUAUUUUUCUUAUUCUUUAAAAAUUUCCUCUUAUGCUUUUAUCGCCUCUUAUUUUCGGGAUAUCCUCGUGAAAUCAAAUGUAAACAGACUCUAAUAUGAUAGCCAUGUAAUUGAUUUGCAGCUUUCACCUUGAUCAUGCUGCGUCAUUGCCAUACUUCUUAGAGAAGGUAUGCUUCGUUUUCUCUCACGUUGAUCUAACUAUCAUACUUCUUGAACCUUGUAAUCCUAAUAGACAAUCUGAUUCUCAGACCACUUUCAAAGGGAGAGUUUUUAUGACUCAUGCAACAAAGGCCAUUUACAAGCUGCUUCUGUCGGAUUAUGUCAAAGUGAGCAAAGUUUCUGUUGAGGAUAUGCUAUAUGAUGAGCAAGACAUUCUCCGCUCAAUGGAUAAGAUAGAGGUACGUUAGUUGCCGUUAGUUGGUUUUGAGGUAGUUUAUGCUGAUCCUAUGCAAUGCAUAGAUUCUGGAGGGUGAUUUGAUUGUUAAGUUUGAAGGGCGUGAAUAUGCCAUCAACAUGUUAUUUGAGUGACAUUUAGGACAAAUUCUUUCGGGUUGGUUGUAAAUUUAUUGGAUAGAUGUAGGCAUAGCAGAAAAUUUGUGCAUAAGAUACUCCGCAUCUCUGGUUUUUCGACUGUGAAAUGAAAAUGGCUUCAUGAUAAUUUUUAAUCUACCUUGCGUGCUAAAAACAUAAUUAUCACAUGAGUAUCCUUGGCUUUUAUCAGAAUGUACAAAUUUAUAUGAGUGAGGAAAGUUUUCAGUGCACCAGUUUAUCAUGCGGCUUCUACAAUGAGCCAUUAAAAAUUGUUAGUACAUAAGACAAAGCUCGUCAACCAUAUGUUUUCUUUUUACACUCAUUGCUUUUCGAAAUAACUAAGUACCUGUAUUCUUUCCUCCAUUCAUCCAAUCAGGGGGGAACUUUUGUAAUAUGACUGCCAAGUGGUUUCAGCAUUACACGACGUCUUCUCAGUACUGUGUACUGCUCCCACUUUGAUAAAAAUAUUGGUCUGUGAGUUUUCUUUUGAUUUGAUAUAACAGCUGCAGAUAGGUGAUCUUCUGUGGUACUGGUCUGAUAUGACUGGAGGGAGUUCGUAGGGGGGUUUAUAGGGUCAGUGAUAAAAUAGAAGAGUUUUGAGUCGACAAAAUGUUAGAUGCCCAGUCUCUUGUGUUUUAAUUCUCAUUUCCUUUCUCGGAAUAGAUUAAAUUAGUCAUUUCUACUCUUAUGUGAGCAUUAGUUUUUCCGCAGUUUGUGUUGGACAUCCAAGUGGUCUGCUGUCUGCAAGGCCUGCCCUGAAAUAUGUAUAAGUUAUUUGGAAGGUUUAGACAACUUACUAUUAUUGACAGAAAUCGCACAUGUGAAAAUAUAAAGUUUUCCUUCAUGAGUGUAAGUAUCCUGUUGCAGUGUCUUAGUAUAUAAAAAAUGCGCGUAGCAUAAUAAAUUCAUGAGAAGAUGCCUUACAAUCUUGAUUUGCUUUGGUGGUGAGGAUGUACUCUCUGGUGAGAAAUAUGUGGUAAGGUGUGUCAGGGAAAAAAAAAAAAGAAGAGGGACUUCUUUUUGACUUCUCAUGUCUUCGUCCUCUUGCUGGUGCUUAACAAGCUUUGUGAAAGGUGAACUAAACAAGGUGAAUAUACUGAUGUCUCUCUCUGCAGGUGAUCGAUUUCCACCAGACGCUAGAGGUGAACGGGAUCCGUUUCUGGUGCUACACUGCAGGCCAUGUCCUUGGCGCCGCAAUGUUCAUGGUCGACAUCGCUGGAGUGCGGGUCCUAUACACGGGCGACUACUCCCGUGAGGAGGAUCGUCACCUUCUCGCUGCCGAGAUCCCCCAGUUCUCCCCUGACAUCUGUAUCAUCGAGUCCACGUACGGCGUUCAGCUCCACCAGCCACGUCUGGCCCGUGAGAAACGCUUCACCGAAAUCAUUCACUCCACCGUCUCCCAGGGCGGCCGUGUCCUCAUCCCUGCUUUCGCCCUCGGGAGAGCCCAAGAGCUUCUUCUCAUUCUUGAUGAAUACUGGUCCAAUCACCCCGAUCUCCAUAACAUUCCAAUAUAUUAUGCCUCCCCUCUUGCCAAGAGGUGUAUGGCUGUCUACCAGACCUACAUAAAUUCCAUGAAUGAGAGGAUAAGGAACCAGUUUGCAAAGUCCAACCCUUUCGAUUUCAAGCACAUAUCUCCAUUGAAGAGCAUAGAGAAUUUCAAUGAUGUGGGCCCAUCAGUGGUGAUGGCCAGCCCAGGUAGCCUACAGAGCGGGCUUUCCCGGCAGCUAUUUGAUAAAUGGUGCUCAGAUAAGAAAAAUGCCUGUGUCCUUCCGGGGUAUGUCAUGGAAGGGACGCUCGCGAAGACCAUCAUUAAUGAACCGAAGGAAGUCACCCUCAUGAAUGGGCUCACUGCCCCUCUCAACAUGCAGGUCUACUACAUCUCCUUCUCCGCCCAUGCAGAUUUCGCUCAGACAAGCGCCUUCUUGAAUGAGCUAAUGCCGCCCAACAUUAUUCUUGUACAUGGAGAAGCUAAUGAGAUGGCACGGCUCAAGCAGAACCUUAUAACUCAGUUCACUGGUACAAAUACAAAGAUCAUAUCCCCCAAGAACUGCCAAUCUGUGGAGAUGUACUUUAGUUCUGAGAAGAUGGCUAAAACUAUUGGACGGCUGGCCGAGAAGGUACCGGAUGUUGGGGAGACUGUAAGCGGCUUACUUGUCAAGAAGGGCUUCACGUAUCAGAUUAUGGCGCCGGAGGACCUCCAUGUAUUCUCACAGCUAUCGACAGCUAAUAUUACCCAAAGGAUCUCUGUCCCUUAUUCGGGCUCGUUCGAAGUCAUAAAGUAUAGGCUAAAGCAAAUUUACGAGAGUGUUGAAUCCCCAUCGCAAGAGGCUGAUGCCCCUACUUUGGUUGUGCACGAAAGGGUCACUAUAAAGCAAGAGUCGGAGAAUUACGUGACGAUGCAGUGGUCCUCCGAUCCAAUAAGUGAUAUGGUUUCUGAUUCUGUUGUGGCUAUGAUCUUGAAUAUUAACCGAGAAGGCCCUAAGGUGACCCCAGUAGAGGAAGCUACCAGGACUCAGGAAGAGACGGAAAAGAUGGCACACAAGGUAAUAUAUGCUCUGAUGGUCUCUCUCUUUGGGGAUGUCAAAGUUGCGGAGGAAGGGAAGUUGGUUAUUACCGUGGACGGGGAUGUGGCACAGCUGAAUGGCAAGAAUGGUGAGGUGGAAUGCGAGAACGAGGGGUUGAAGGAAAGGGUGAGGAUGGCAUUUCGGAGGAUUCAGGGUGCUGUGAGACCGAUUCCUCUAACCGCAUAAUUUCCGGCCUUAGUUUUUGGAGGAUACUUUUGUUGUUAAUGGAUAUACCGGACCGAAGCCAAGUGAUAAAUGUUUCACGAACUACGUAUUUUAUAUUCACUGAUAUUAAUUACUCGCACCAAACAGCAUUGUGUCCCUGCAGCUUAGCUUUUGUCAAUAUUUUCAGUUUUGAGAGUAUUUUUGAUAAUGAGUAGAGCUACUAUGCUAUCGGAAACAUGGAGGAUCUGAUGCUUUCGAUUUUUUUGCCUUUAAAUUAGCUUAUUUGAUCAUUUCUAAUAUUUGAAUUAAUACUAUUAUCAUGUGUGGACCACUCUACUUUAGGGGUACUAAUCAACCUUAGGGGGGAAUUGUAAUUAUUCCAACCAUAUCAUUUUUGAUCCAAGGGUCAAAAAGUCGGAAGCAUCAAAUUCUCUAUACUUUUGAUAACAUAGGAGCUCUAUGCUUUGAUAAUUGUGUUGAAGCUUGCAACUGCUUUCUGAGUACAUUGGAGUACGGUUGUUGUAACUUACAUGAUCUAUUGCUUAAGUAGCAAUGAGUAUCUCAUGCACUACUCUGCAAGUAACUCUGUUAUGUUUUGCAUUGCAUUAGGGGCAACAGACGGACAGUGCGGUCUGUAUAUGUAUAAUUUUGCAUUUUGUAGCUCUCUUUUGUUGUCUGCAGCAUGUACAUGAUCACUUACAUGACGGCGCUCAGAAGAGUUUAUUUGGUUCUCGAUCACACACACAGGAUGAUAGAGAACGAUGUUUGUUUGUAAUACGCUAGUCAAAGAAAUGCAAAUGGUGCAUACAGGUUCGAGCAGCAAGGAACGCCAAAUAAAGAUCAAUCCAAAGAUUUCCAGAACAGUAAUAGCCCAUGAUGAUGAAAAGAAAGAGAAAGUCUUGAGAUACAGCUGAUGGAGCACAAGUGUGAAAAAGAAGAAGGCUGAACCGAACCCUAACUAAUUAAGAUAAUGUCCGUGUCCAUGUCCUCCUCGAUAAUAUGUUUCGUGUUCUGGGGCACUGGGAGACAUGGUAUAGGUGCUGUGUUAUACUAGACUCGGCCGUCCCAGAGGCACUCGAGGGCGGCAGAGGGCCGUUGGAGGAUGCGGGCGACGUCGGGAGGGGGGUUGAGGCCCAUGGCGGCGGCGCGCUCCCACCUCUGCAGCCGGCCGAGCCCGAUGCAGGGCCCGUACCUCAUGUCCAUGUCGAACUGCCUCAGCCUCUCCUCUUCUUCUCCGUAGUCAUCUGAACGAACCAACGAACGAGCGAGUAAUCUAAUAUUUUAUUUAUAUAUAAUAUAUAAUAUAUCAUCAGGGUAGGUUUUCAAAUUAUAGAGGAGAGGAGAGGAGAGGAGAGGGGUUGGGGGAGGAGAGGGCUCUAACCCACCUACGAGAUCCAAGGAUCCGUGCGCGAUGAGGGCCGGGGUCUGAGCCGGAUCGGGAGCUCCGACGGACGCUCCGCCGGUGUGCUUGCCGCCCCAUUCCUUCUUCUUGGAGUUGGAGGGGGCGGCUUUGUCUUUGGCCUUAGCCUUACCGCCGCCGCCCUUCUUCUUCGUCUGCCGGUAGAAACCCUUGAUGUCCUUCGAUGCCAUUUUCUCUCUCUCUCUCUCUCUCUCUCUCCCCUCUCCCUCUCUCCUCCGUUAGACGGACGGAUUCGAAUUUUAAAACACGCGAUAGGGCUUCCUUUUUUUAAAACAUAUCAUCAUCGGUGCAGGGAAAAAAAAAAAGAUGAAGAAAAUAACUUUCCACGUGGACGCUCACGAUCUCGUUAUCAUCCAAGUCUUUCUUUGCUGCGAUAGAAAUAGGUUAGGGGAAAGAGUUUGGUUACUUUUCCCAGCCGUUUGAUUUUGUUUGAGUGCAUUUAAAACCGUCCGAUCAAAACUAGAUGUAUUCAAUAAAUAAUUAAUAAAUAGUCAUAAUAAUAAUUGUUUGUGUUUAUUUCCUUGCUGCAUUUUGAUUUGUGCGGUCCAAGUAUGAUAUGAAGUGCAAAAAGAUCCAGUCCCACGGAUAGAGAGAGAAAAUCUGUAGUGAGGAUUGUGUGGGUUAGCUGCUGCUGCCCACAACACGCACGCACGCGCGCACGCACGCACAAAAUAAAAACAAAAAUAAAAUUUAAAAAAAAAACCAAGGUUAAAAAAAGCGGGUGAGGAAUUAAGGAAAGAAAGAAGAUAAAAAGCAUAUGUAUAAGUAAGAAGAUAAAAAGCAUAAAGAAGGCGCCAUGAUGUUGAGACAGGGAAGAGAGAAUUUGCUGCGGAGCCAUGUCGUCGUCGUCGUCCUCCCUUGUUCCACCUCUUCUCGUCCUAUGCCCCAGCAACGCCGCCACCUCCUCCUCCUCCUCGCGUCUCCCUCCUCUCCUCCCUUCCUCCCCGACAACCCCAGCGGCGACGAUACGAGAAGAAUCCGACCAUGCCAAGUCGCCGAAGCGGCCCACCGCGCUCCUCCGCGCCCGGCUGAGCCGGCUCUGCAAGGAGGGGCGCCUCGACCGCGCCCGCCGCCUCUUCGACUCGAUCCUCCCCGGCGCCGCCGACCCCCCUCCGACCCUGCUCUGGAACACCCUCCUCAUCGGCUACGUCUGCAACUCCCUCCCCGACGACGCCCUCCGCCUCUACGCCCUCAUGAACAUGAACAACUCCUUCCCCCGCUCCGCCUCCGCCUCCGCCUCCGCCUCCGACUCCGACCACUACACCUACUCCUCCGCCCUCAAGGCCUGCGCCCACUCCCGCCGCCUCCGCCUCGGCAGGUCCAUCCACUGCCACCUCAUCCGCCGCUCUUCUGCCCCGCCCAAGAACCCCGUCCUCAACAACUCCCUCCUCAACAUGUACGCCUGCGCCUCCGACCCCGAGCCCGCUCGCCCCGACGUCGUCCGCGCGCUGUUCGACAGAAUGCCCCGCAGAAACGCGGUGUCUUGGAACACUGUCGUUGCGUGGUACGUCAGAUCCUGCCGCCCGAACGACGCCCUGGCGCUGUUCAAGUGCAUGAUCGAGGCGGGUAUUAGGCCUUCUACAGUCAGUUUCGUCAACGUAUUCCCGGCAGUGGCCGCAGCAGAUGGUGUGAUUUGCCACGAUGCACUCUAUGGAUUGCUCAUUAAGCACGGAAAAGAAUAUGCAGAUGACCUGUUUGUCGUGAGUUCUGCGAUAUGUAUGUUCUCUGAGCUCGGGGACAUAAAAUCUGCUCGGCAGGUCUUCGAUCGAGCUGACGAUAAAAACACCGAGGUGUGGAACACAAUGAUAAACGGGCAUGUUCAGAAUGGGCAAUAUGUUGAAGCCAUUGAUCUCUUCCUCCAGAUACUGGGAUCCGAGGCGGUCAAUGCGGAUGGCGUGACUUUCUUGUCUUCCCUAAUGGCAAUCUCUCAGUUACAGGAUGUCAAGCUGGGCCAGCAGGUCCAUGCUUAUUUGAUAAAGGACAAUCUGUCGGCGGUUCCGUUGAUUGUCCGCAAUGCGCUCAUCAUCAUGUACUCGAGGUGCGGUCGUGUUCAAUCUGCCUUUGAUUUGUUUUGUCAAAUGCCGAAGAGAGAUAUUGUAUCUUGGAACACCAUGAUCACUUGUUUCGUGCAGAAUGGUUUUGACUUGGAGGGCCUAUUGCUUGUAUACGAGAUGCAAAAAAAGGGACUCAUUGUUGAUUCUGUCACUUCUACAGCCUUGCUUUCUGCCGCAUCAAAUCUGAGCAGUAUCCGAAUUGGAAAAGAGACACACGGGUAUCUCCUCAGGCAUGGAAUACAGUUUGAAGGAAUGGAAAGUUAUCUCGUUGACAUGUAUGCAAAAUCGGGCUGUGUUGAGACUGCACGACAGCUGUUUGAUGGGAAUUCCCCUCCCAACCGAGACCAAGUCACUUGGAAUGCUAUGAUUGCUGGAUAUACACAAAGCGGACAGACUGAACAGGCUAUCACAGUGUUCCGUGCAAUGCUUGAAGAAGGCUGGGAACCAAAUGCAGUGACUCUCUCACCACUGCUGUCUGCUUGUGAUCCAGUUGGUGGAAUACAAGCUGGUAAACAGAUUCAUGGGUUUGCAAUUCGCCACUAUCUGGAUGAUAAUGUUUUUGUUGGUACAGCUCUCGUGGACAUGUAUUCCAAGUGUGGUGAUAUUUUCGCUGCGGAAAGAGUGUUUGAGGGAAUGCCUGUAAAGAACACAGUCACUUACACGACAAUGUUGUCCGCAUUGGGUCAGCAUGGGCUUGGUGCGAGAGCUUUGUCCCUCUUUCACACAAUGGAAAAGUUGGGGACAAAGCCAGAUGCUGUCACCUUCGUGGCAGUGAUCUCAGCAUGUAGUUACUCUGGGUUGGUCGAUGAUGGUCUUGCCGUAUAUUAUUCGAUGGAGAAAUUUGGGAUCGCGGCCACACCGGAGCAUCACUGUUGUGUUGUGGACUUAAUGGGCAGAGCUGGGAGAGUGGAGGAAGUAUAUGAGUUUGUUAACAGCUUGGGGGAGGAUGGUAAUUUCGUAGGAAUCUGGGGAUCGUUGCUUGCGGCAUGUAAAGUGCAUGGGAAGUUAGAGUUGGGAAAGCUGGUUUCAGAGAGGCUCUUUCAACUUGAGGAAGAAUAUGGGAUUGCAGGCUACCAUGUUCUUCAUUCAAAUUUACAUGCUGUGGAGGGUAAUUGGGACAAUGUUGACAGGGUGAGGAAGGAGAUGAGAGAGAGGGGGUUGAGGAAGGUGCCUGGAUCCAGCUGGAUUUAUGUUGAUAAUGCAGCACACAGAUUUAAUUCUAGGGACCAAAAGCACCCAGAAAAUUUCCAAAUAUACUCGAUGUUGCAAGAGCUAACAUUAGAGAUGAAAUCUUCUGGUUUUAAGACCCUAGAUCCUUGCAUUUUGGAUGGGGUUGCUGAGUUCUGAAUAUCGUAGUAUCUUUCAAGGCUAAACUUUGGCAACUCCCAAGUAUUGGCGGUCAGAAGGAGACACUUAAGUAGAAAAAGGUGAUUGACAAAUCCUUUCCUCCAGGUGUUAACAUUGCUUGUUCUUUGAAGAAGAGGGCCCUAGAAUGUUAAUGCAGAUGUCAUCAGCUGCUAGCGAAUAGAAGAUCAGGCUGUGCGUUGUCACUGCAAGUAUGAGCAGAAGCAGUUAAAUAAUCGUGCGUCAUGUUUAUUACAAAGCCAGUCAUUUUAACAUCGAUUACCCUGUUUUAUACGCUCUUGCAGCCUAUUUCAUUUGACUGGGAGACGUGAAAAUGAAAGCAGAAAAAAGGACCAAAAAAAAAAAAAAGAGGAGGAGGGGAGCCUUCGAAUGUUGCUGUGUUGGCACUUGGCCAUAUACAUGUACAGUAGAAAUGUAUAGAUGCCUAAAAGUUGUUGGCUAUGAAGAUUGUUUCCUGGGACCACUGUUCAGAUAUGCCAAGACAUCAAAUUUGAUCAUUUGAAUCAAUGAGAUGAACUGUAUGCGGUUAACAAAAUACCUGAUUCAUUGCUUUGUUUUUUUUUUAAAUUUCUCCACCGAGUCUUAUACUUUAUUUGUUUAGAUUGGUAGAAAAACUAGAAUUUACAUAUAAUCACCAUGACUGCAAAUUUAGGGCUCAAGUACAAGCAGAUCCAGGCAGAAAACCCUGAUUAAUCAGGAUUGAGGGCAAUAUUUGAUUCUUGUUGCUAUUUGUUAUGGCUGCAGAGUUUUAGCUGAAAAAACAUCUCUUUAUCCUUUCUAUGAUGAACUACCAAGUUUCCAAAGCAGAACCGACUUUCCACAGAACUAAGCUGAGUACUAUUGUCUAAUCCGAAUAGGGUAGUUGGAAGAUUCCGAUGGACUGUAGAACAUACAGAUCUUACUGUUGUUGGACUUGUUUGGCUUUAUGUCUUAUCUGUACAAGAACAAGAUCAGUAGUUCUCUCAGUUCGAUUUUUUCUGGUAAAAAAUUGUACUUGUUUGCAGCGCAUAAAUCUUCUAGCUAAUGCUUAAUUAGGUUUUAUUAGCUCUACCAACUUUUCUUAUUGUUUAAACUUCUAACAGCUGGCAACGAGCUCGGACAGGAGACGGGGGAGUUAGGAACCAGCCCCAAACCUGGCCCACCCGCGCCCGUUGUCCCUAAAAGGCCUAUUAUUCUUUGAUAGGCUCUCGUCGCCCACAACUGGGAAGAGGAAAAGAUCAACCACAAAAAUUCCGCAGAAAAGCGAGUAAACUAGAGGAUAAAACUCGCAAACAACGAACACAGUUUACCUUGCUUUGUAAGGUCACAACAAAGCUACAGUACACGAACGAACACAAACAGCAGACACCGUUUUCUUAGCUCCAACAGACCAUGGAAAAGUUUCAUUAGAAAAGUUAUCACUUGCUGUGCAUGCACGGAUGCACCAAUCGUUGUGAAAGCAAUUGUAGCUAACAGCUGGAGCUGUUAAUAAGGCCACCCCCUUGUGAAAGCACAAGACGGAAACCUACAAUCACCUCCCCUCUUAAGGCCUGAACUCGUACCUUCAACUCAAUGGUCUACAAUGACAAAGAGGAAAAUACAGCAGACGAAUUCGAGACUAAAUAUUAGGGCAGUGAGCAUGAUUAUCCAUGGAAUAAUAUAAGUUUCUCUUCAACUAUUCCUAAUUUGCAGUGACCGCUAACUUCCUACCAGCACAAAAACAAACUUGGUAUCCCAAAAGACUACAAUCAGUCAAUCUCUUUAGUAUUUUAAAGGGCAGAGUAAAAAAAAGAAAAGAAAAAGUAGCUGCCCUGUUGAUCCAGAAAACCAUCAUUCUUUCAAAUUUUCUGAUGUUGGAUCAGCCCAUCUCUUCUGCCUCAAUUUUUGUCAGCCUGUAUGUCAGUGAGUAGUGACACAACCAUGAUCACCUGGUUGAUUUCAGGGACCAGUCAAAAUUUGGCUGAACCACUGCCAGCCCAUUUGCAAGAAUUUUCUGGUUUUUGUUCAGUAUGUAAACAUACUUGGAAGCUUGGGGCUGUGUCCUACUAGGCUACUAUUCUGCACCAGUCCAUCUAUUCCGCUUAAUUUCCGCUUAAUUGGUGCUUGCACAAGUACUCAGUGAGUUAGAUGAGCAUAUGUAUUUUAGCAUAGUCACCAAGAUAGUCUCUUGACAGUGUGGCAAGCCAUUAUGCUUUGCCAUCAGCUAAUCCUAGUCGGCUAUCACAAUAUUGCUUAUAUUCACAGUGGCAAGGACCUGUUCUCACCUGUAGAGAGAAAGCCAUAAAACCUGUCAAAAUAUGAGCAAGGAACAAAACAGCAGAUGCAUUUUCUAACAAGUUUAAUCUUAGAAUAAUUUAAAUUUCAUAAAGAACAUGAAAAUUCAAUAGUUGACUGCCUACUAUAGUUCUUUCCAAUAUAGAUGAGACCAUAGUAUAAGAGGUGACUGGUUUAGAAUUGCCUUUUAAGUCCAAGCAAUUGAACAAAACAGACGGUCCAAGGAGUGCCACCUUAAUAGUUUUCAUACAAUAAACCAACCUGACCAUGAAUUCAUCUAUUUUCCUACUAGCUUGAUGUACAAGAAACCUCAAACUAUAUGUGAAGAGAUGAGCAUGAUCCUAACAUUAACGUAGCUUGCCAACAAAAGAAUACCAAACAAAGGGACUUCUGAACAAGCUUAUAUCGCAUGGUACUCCAUUGUUAACAUUAAAUCUGCUAAGACGUAAUUUCCAAUAUAAUCAGCAAAAUGUUGACAAACCUUCCGGAAAGUGAACGAAACCCUCCUUGACCUCCUCCUUAUUACAUGAUCACCAACCGUAUCAAUCUUGAAAGGAAAGAUGCAUACAGAAUUACAGAUUUCAUAUUAAUAUCAAUUUCCUUGUAAUUCUGUCACCAAACAUGUUAACAGCUCACGAAAUUGUGUACCUUAUGAUGUGGAAUAUAGUGAUGCCAAGCAUACCGCCCUUCUCCAGACAUUAAAAGCAUCGACCGAGGUGGAAGGAAAAUGGCUUGCCUUGUGAAUGUUGACCAUUGACCACUGUUUUCUCCAUCUAUGCCAUUAACCGUAGAAACCGGAAGAUGCCAAGUGCCAGUAGGAUAUCUCCUAAAUUCCAUAAUGCAGGGGCCAGCUAAUGAAAGGCUGAAGAUUAAGUCAUCAAAUGCAGAAUGGGUAUCUAUAUGCGGGGAUAAGCCAACACCAGGAGGAUAUUCAUUAACCUGUAAAGCAUACGACAGGUUACAAUCGUGAACAGUCUUUUUUAGCAGUCUAAAUCUACAGGCACAAAAUAAGGGCCUACAUAGCUAUUAAAGAGGAUGAAUAUCACUUAGCCUAAGCACAUGGUUGAUUGGUUUCUCAUGUGGUUUGAGUACUUGCAAGUCGGUACAUAAUCAGGUAAAUGGUUUCAAAGCAUAUAGCAGCAAGAAUGAGAAGCAUUUAGUCCCACAACCUCUUCAGUAUUAAUCACUAUUUAAAUUCAUCUGCAAUUGUUUUCACCUAGCAACUAUUGUCUGAUUUUUUUUUUUUUUAAUUUAAAAAAGUGCUCCACUAAUUUGUAGAAUCUCCAGCCAUACAGAUGAAGAGGAAAGACAAAUGAGGGGGGAAAAAGCAAAGCACUGGAAAUUAUGUAAAUAUGCAGGAUGCCACAAAGAGAUACCUACGCAGGUGCUUGCAUGCAAUGCAAAAACCAUCCAUCAAAUGUACACCAGCAGAAAAAGCACAUGUACACAUGCAAAUCUCGACCAAAUUAAGCUUAUGUCAUCAUCCAUCCUUGUCGAACAAGUCAUGGCAUUAUGUAAGGGAAAAAAAAAGAUCAGGGCUGAAGGAACUAUGGAAAGCAAGUAGGUGCCUUUUUAAAUCAAAAGGAAUGCUAAUCUUUCAUAAUCUUGUCAUUGUCCUUCCAUUCUUCAACUAAUGUAAGUCUCCAACUAAAUAAGGUUGCUACAUGUAUUCUAUUUUUUUCUUUUUUCUUUUUUUUUUCCUCCGCCAACUUUAUGUUUGGAUAUGUAAAUUACUCAGCCAUGGAACAAAAGUAGGAGUAUUUGGAGACAGCCCUAUUCUUCAACAUUUUUGCAUGGUGUGGCCUCUGUGGUUAUUGAACAUUGAUGGAGUUGUCGGAUUGACACAUCUCACAGAGCUAAUAAGAAUAUAUUCACCCAAAUCAAUUGAGAAUUGUCUUGGAUUUUCACAACAAGGUAGUUCAUCAACCACAUGGUGUAAGGUCAUUUGCCUCGCAGAAUCAAUCGUCAUCAUCCUUUUAAAUAGGUCCUUAAGUUGGAGCUAUUAGCGAAUUUGCAGCGGGGUUUUGGUGCAAAAAAAUUGUGUGAAGUUCCAAAAGUAGCAAAAUCAAGCCAGUUUUGUGCCCUUUUACUGGUUGCACUAGCUUCCAUGAUCUCAUCAAUAUUGUUAAACAAUGCCAAUCAAUGCCAGUCCUUUGCUAGGCAAGGUUUGGUCCACAUACUACCACCGCACAGCCUUUUCAAGCAAAUACACAUUUACAUGUCAAUAUGGCUUUUCAGCUAAAACAGGAAACCAAAAAAAAAAAAAGCAAACGUUUACGAGCACCUAAAUACUGGAAUGGAAGUGGCAAGCUGAUAGACCACGGCAUUAUAAGAAACUGUCUGCUGAAAAAUGAAUCUGUUGAACAAUUAGGUCCAAAAUAUACCGUCAAUUGAUCCAUCAGUUUGCUUCUGUUUUCCUCAGGUCCAGGAAAUGACAUGAUCUUAUCAAGUAUGGGAGAAACAAAAGGAGGAAGUUCACCCAAAAAGUGCUUUGAAUCAACAUUUCUUGUCUGCAUAAUGAAGUUGACGUUACCAAAUUAGUAAAUUAUGAGAGUACAAGGCAAUCUUCAAACCAUAGUUAUUAUUGGAAAAAUCAUUUUUUAGAACAUGACCAAUUCAAUGAACCAGUGCAGCAACAAAAGAGCCAGAAUCAGGCAAUUCAUUUGUUACAUUAUACGAUCAUCUUAGAUGAGCCAAAACACGCAUUAAUGAGGCCAGACCAAUUAGGCGUUCAAUAGUGACAAUAAAAGGAAACAAACCCCAAUGACAGGAAGAUUGCCUAGUAGGUAUUAGGGUAAGGCACAGUGUUUGGAACCAAAGGAGACCAUAGACUGCUCAUAUAAAUUCUACACUUAAUAUCAUCACUGCAUAGCACUGUUCCAAUAAAAGCCUGUUGAUUUUCCAAGCAUUCCCACCUUUGAGGACAACAAUACUGAAGUGGUUUCAGAUAGCAUCUAGAAGGGAUUUGGGAUUCCCUAUUGCUCAAACCGUUCUUAACUUAAUUCUUACUUUCCCUUCUUUUGUAAGUUAAAUACGCUCCUUUAGUCCCUUAAUUUAAAGAAACUAAGACCUUGCAAAGCAUAGCAUUGCUUCAUAAUAAUAGAUUUUACAUGAGAUAUUAAAAAAUAGCACUGUAUUUUGACGUAUGUUGGCGCAAAUCACGGAUGCCAUGAAAGCAUUAGGCUAAUAAUAUGUGCUAUUGGUCUUGCUAGCAGUUUUUCUAGCAAAUCGAUUAUAUAAAUCAAUUAGUAAAUAUAAAGAUCUUUUUCAUUAACUGAACUGCAAAAUCCCAAACAAUAAAGUAAACCGCACAUUCUUCAGCAUCAGGUACUUACAAGAUAAACUUACGUCAUAAAGAAAUUCAUAGCCAUAAUGCUGAACUCUUCUUUUUGAUAGAUUUUUCCAAGGCCUAAUAUCCACUUCUGAAAGGAGCUUCUAAUGAUGGAAAAGAUACAAAUUAGUUUUAGAAAUACGAAAAGUCCGCAGAUGAUUGAAUGCAAAAGGAAUACAAAGUUUAGAAAAAAUGGCAUUCAACCGGCACAUUUUGGCAUCCAACCUUUUCUUCCUCAACAGUGAUAAAUUCGUGCACUAGGUGAAUUCCAGGAACUGCCACUUCCGAGGAAAAGAAAGAUACAGGAAGCGAAUCAUUAUUUCGGACCUAACAUUGAGAAUUAACAGCAUUGAUCAAGGAUAUAUUGUAAUUAGCAAAAUACGAAUAUAUUUAAUGACAAAACAAACAAUUUCCAUGAUAUAAAAUACUCGUCUUUUAUAAGCUGCGAAUGUUUUCAACAAGUUAAUUUUUAGCAUAUUGUUCAAUUAACAUGAAUAUGGAAGAGCAGUUUCCUCACUAGUCGAGGUCACAUUUAUACAUACAAAUAUAGAAAACAAUUUACCACAUAUUUCUGAAUACGGAUAAGCAUAAUACCCUGCUAGCUAGUCAAUUUUUGCUGAAUGACAAUCAAAAACAUGUGCAUAUUCUGUACUUGACUCUAAGGAAGCAUUUGAAGAUAUAAAAUGAUGCGCCAAUUAAAUCAGCUCAAAACUCAAACCUUCUGUUGUUGUGGCACUGAAUAGCGUAAAUGCAAAGUUCGACCACCAAGAUCCAAGCAAGAGAAGCCAUUCAGUGAUUUAAAUGCUGCUUGAGCAGCAGUCAUUUCAGAAAAGCAAACAAUCACACGAGUGCCAGUAUCAUCAGCGGCAUGGACUCCUAUGACGUUCCCAUAGGUGCUGAAAACUGAUUUGAUUUUGUCAAAUGAUAGUCCCACAGCUGGCCCACAAUUAGCAACGUACAAGUUCGGGCUUGAUUCAUUACUCAACCCUCUGGAACGGGUGAAUCCACUCCCGGCCAUACCCCUAUAAAUGGUAUGUGGUUUUAUGCUAUUCACACCUAGAUAGAAAUAUGACGAUAUUGUUAGAAUGCUAGUUGUCACAUGAAAAUAUGCCAUGCUCUAAGGAAACACAACAAAUAAUACUUGAUGAAAUCACGCAGAAAAUGUCCAAGAAUAUUGAUUUGACAGCAACAGACUCAGUAAUCCAGGUUUUGCCUAUUUAAAUUUCUUAUUGUCUUGAUUCUAUAAUCAUCAGAAUAAGAUUGGACAGUUUGGGAGACAAAUGGAAUUACCACCUGCCCACAAGUUUUGUCAGAAUAUAGACAUCCAUAUGGUAAAAGCCCUAAAAUGAUAUUCGAAUGCAAGGGAAGCGAUUGUUGGUUGCUCAGCAUAAUCUGCAAUGCUGCACUACACUGCAAUGGAUUAACAGGCGCUUCAGGAAAAAAACAAAUCUGCAAAUAGUCGAAAGAUAUUACCGAGCUGUGUUAAGAAACACGACGAUUAGAUAUUAGACAACAAGAAGAGAUACGUCUGAAGUAUGUAGUCCAACAGGCAUCUCUAUCCACAAGAAAUAUUUGUCAUGAUUCAGAUACUCUCGUCAUUACUGACGAGAUAGUGAUCAUCGAUAUUCCGAGCGACCAGCUAAAGAGAGCAUCUUGAGCUUUCAUUAUCCAUCUACAGCCCCGUCAGUGUAGGGGCACUUGUUUGACGGAGAAAGUUGGAAAGAAUGAAGGUCGAUCCGAAACAAGAAGAGCUCGAUCUUCAACACUUGGUUCGGCAAACAAAGCCAAAGAUUGUUAGAGCUAAGAGAUAUAAGGACUAGAAAUUCCCAUUUAUCUCGGAGAUUCCGGAGUUUAAUUGGAGGUGCGCGGCCAUGCAAUAACGACACCAUCGGCUAGCAGCAGGCACCUCGCCUUAUUCAUAAGGGCGUUUCUGUUUCUUACCUUGAGAUGAGAUGCCCUCGCAUCAGAAGAUCACAUGGUCCUUAUGCGAAAACCCUGGGUGAGGGGCAUGAAAUUGAGAUGACUUUGAGUCGAAGAACAAAAAUGAACGCGUACAUGCGGAGGCAAGAAAUAGGGAUCAAGAAUGAGAAAAGGCAGCAACAGCUAUCAAACAAUAGCAUUCUUGUUGUUGAGAAUAAUAUGCUGACAGCUAAUCUUUCAAACUCGCCGGAACCACACACACACACAAACGACGAGAAAGAUGAACGACCGACAGCUACCUCAGAAAAGCCUCAGCCGCCGAUACGAUCGGAGUAAUGCCUUCUUCAAAGUCUCUCUUUCUCUUCUUCUUCUUCUUCUUCUUCUCCUUCUCCUCCUCCGAAGACUGCUGUGCGUAGGAAUUAUAACGCAACGGCGAAUAGGUCGAACCGGCACGGGUCGACCCGCCUAAUUUGGGCGGGGGGCCGGCCAGACCCAACGUUCGAAGAUUAUAAUCCCACAUCGGAAGACAAUGAGGACUCUACCUGGACCAACCGCCUUAACACGGCAGUUGGACCUCCAUUCCAAAGCAUACCUUUCUCGGCCUUUUGGCUAAGAUCAAGUGUAGUAUCUGUUCUUAUCAGUUUAAUAUCUGAUACGUGGGCCAUGGCCCACCUCGAUAUUAAAUUAAUUUUUAUGUGGGGGAGGGCCCACCCACGGUAGCUUGCUGCCGGGGCCCUCGCCGCGUCGCCCAUGCGUUGCACUACUGCAUGUCCCUGGCGCACCCCUACCAAAUCUGAAUCUUAACAAUCUUCUAUUGUUUGGGCUUAGCCAACGAUCCAUUCGUGCGGAGGGUAGAUUCUCGAUCCUUAACGUAGCUUCUUCCUACACCAUUCUUGAAGGGUAAAAACAUCUGAUACAUCUAAAUAUUUCGACAAAAAAAAUUUCAUGAAGCACUAGCCAUUUACCAGGGCAAAGAAAAAGCUAAAUGUUGUGAAUAUGUAUCUCAUUCGCAAAGAUUAUCUUGUCCAACUGUCAUCACCACCUCUGUACAUCUAAAUAUUUCGACAAAAAACAUCUGAUACAUCAGGUAAAAACAUCAGGUAAAAACAUCUGAUACAUCUAAAUAUUUCGACAAAACAAAUUUCAUGAAGCACUAGCCAUUUACCAGGGCAAAGAAAAAGCUAAAUGUUGUGAAUAUGUAUCUCAUUCGCAAAGACUAUCUUGUCCAACUGUCAUCACCACCUCUGUACACAGCAAAAAAUUUGCACAAGACAACAAAAAUUUUGCACUUCGUGCCAUGAGAAACAACAGCAUAAAUUCUUUGUUUUGCGAGGAUUUGAGAGCCCCUUCGCAAAGAUUAAAGCACAGCGACCAGAAACAACCAACGAAAUUGCAAAUUCAUUAAUUCUUGCCAAUGUGCAUAAAGACCUAUACUUCAACUUUUAAAAACCAAAACAAAUAAACAUUGUCAAAAUGCUUCCACACACCACAUUGUCCAAUUAAAAAUCCAUAUACACCCAACACCAGAGCCUGGUCUUGCAUUCUUUCUUUUUUUCCUCAUGCUCAUAUUGUAGCGGAAAAAAACAGCAUCCGAUAUCUCAGCCCUAACAACAAGGCAGCAAACAAUCCCCAAAGAACAUAUGAAUGAGCAUGGGACAUGGCAGUUCAACAAUGAUUAGCUGUAUAAAGUUCACAAUCUUACAAGAAUAACAGUUGAGUUCACAAAUAUAAAUAUAUUUUCUAAUUUAGAUAAAUAUCAUGCACCACAUCAGGAUCGUCUUUCCCUCCUUUAUCCUUUUGGCUGCAGCAGAGAAGUCAAGAAUGUCAGCUACCUUAGCAUGUUUCAACUGUUUUGCAGGCUAUAAUGAGUUAAAGAACAAGCGCAUACUCUCCUAUAGAGUGAAGACAUUAGAAAAACCAACACCAAGCACAGAGAAAUGCUUAUCUUUAGCAGCAUUCUAUUUGUGAUGCAGAAUGUCUUAACAAGCAGACCAAAAGGACUAUGAGAAAUCCAAAUGAGAGAUCACAGAGACAAACAUAAGCACGAUAGAUAAAUAAUGAUAUUCCUGCUGGGUCACGAGAUCCUUCCAUAGUCCUUUCUUGCAUGGGUUGACGGAAGAGUGGUCACAAUGGAAUGUCCCGGCCUCGGCCCUACAAUAAAAGAAUUCAAAAGCUAAAACUGCAAUUCAGAAGAGAAAUUUUUGCAGGCUCUACAUAGUAGUAGUGCAUUUGAAACAUUCUGUAUAAUACUUCUAUGGAUCAGAUGAAGAAUGUAUGGUUAAAACUUAAAGGAAAUAUCUAGUAAAGCAUCGAAAGUAUGGCUUUGUCAAUUACCCCAUGGCAUUCCGUUAUCAAAGAUAACACUGGAAGAAGAAUGUGGAUCAUCCAAUUUGUAGUUUGGCCAGGCUGGUUGAUGACUUUGAUGACUUCUCUCAUUCUGUGCAAUAGCAGAAUUCAUCUGAUCAAACCGCUGAAAAGAUUGCUGUCCAAAGCGGCUGGGAUACUUUUGGUGAAAAUAGUGCGAGCGGCCAUAACCGGGAUGAGUAUCAUGGGAGGUAGAAUGGCUACUCUCUCCAGCUGCAGAUGCUUGAAACAUAUGAUCUGUUCUGUAAUUAAAAAAGAAAACAGGGAAAAUGACUACCACUUUCUUGAGCCUCUAAAAGCUUUCAUUAUAAACAAGCUCACCAAUAAUGAAACAAGAAAAAUGUAACAAGCUAACAGCGAAUUCCUUAUACUAGAGUUUAUUUAUUCUACUUUCGUAUUUAACACUUUUCUUAUUUCUGUAAGGAAAGAUAUAAACAUACAUGUAACAUCACUGAUGUGUAGGUGCCAAAGAUUACAGUUUGAUGAUAAAUUUAGUGUCAGCUAUGGUUUUUGGAGGAAUUGUAGGAUAGAAGAGCUAGAGUCAGUUGUAUGAUUAGCUGUUACAAAACGAUGGCAGGACCAAAAGAUGUAAUAAAUAAUGUUUCAUCAAACUAUAUGCAACAUGAAACAAAUUUUUUUUUUUAAAGAAUGCCUUCCCAACAACACCCGUACUUAAAAUUUACCAAUAAAAUCAUUAAGAUGUCGCAAUUUUUAAUUUCGUCAUGCCAAGCCAAUGCAGACUAAAAACGUGCUUAAUUGCACAGAGGUUCGAGUCACGGAGUUUGCGUGCUUUGGCCAUAGUGCAAUCCCUAAUUUCUGCGGGUUUGGAGACAAUGUCAUGAGCUCCGGCUGUACAUGUCACAAGUCAAAGUUAGUGCUUCAUCUCAUGAUUAGUGUGUACACAGGCGAACCAGAGUCAGCAGUCAGGAUUUGGGAGCCCUGCAACCGUCCCAAACGGCAAAGCACGGAUGGCAGCAGAGAUCCUCGGCCUGACCAAGUUAUGCCUCCACACUCCGUGCUGCCAAACACACACUCCGUGCUGCCAAACACACCCUAUAGCCAUAUUGCAUUGACAACCUGAUUUCUAAGUAAAAGAUCACUCAUACCUUUGGUUUGAUGGUACAAAAUGUGAACUUGAGUGGGCUUGGCUUUGGCCACCGCUAGACCUGCCAGGUCCAAUCCUUGGAGUCGUAAUAUCUACAGUGUUGCCAAGCCGUAGGCGAUUACUCAACUCAAAAGACAUUGAACUGACUUCUGAAUUAUCUUCUUGCAGAAGGUGCUCAUCACUGGAAAGAGAGAAAACAUUCAAUCAAAAUCAGAUACCCCAAGCAAGAGGAUAUUUUUCCAAACCACAGUCGAACUAGAUAAAUGUGGCAAAAUAGCAAUCUGGCAAUAAAAUCUGUUAAACUCUGAGUAGGUUUACAACAUAGAAAGACAAAAUAGACCACCAGUUUCAAGUUCAAUACCCUAAAUUCUAACUAUGGUGUUAACAUGCUGCCUUCUCCAGAUUGUGGGCUAAUACAAAAGGAAAUCGAGAUCAAAAUUCACAUAUUAACUCUAUAUUAACUAUCUUUCUUAUCUAGUAUCACUAAGGGAGUUCAUAUAACCUAUAAUUGGGGUCCCAAUCAGCUGGAUCAGGUACCGAUGAACUGCAUUCAGGUAUAUCAGAUAAACCCUCUGAUGGCUGUGAAGAGACCGCAGCAUGUUGAUAGGAUACUUGAGAAGUCCCAUGACUGCCAAUUGGGAAGUCACCUAAAGACAAAUCAUUACGGCCACCUACCAGUUGCCUCCAGCUAGAAUGGCCUGAAUUUGAAAGCGAGCUCGGAAAUGAACCAACAUGCCUACGUACUUGAGCUCCAGUGUGACUACUACUGAUGCCAUCAAAAUUUUGCUCAGGCCCGUGCUGAGAUGCAUUUUCCUGAGGUUGAAUAGACAUAGCUGAGUAGCCCCAACUUCUCCUCCUGUUGUACUGGCCCACUGCAACUGCUUUUCCCAAUGAGGAAGAAUGCAUAGGGCCUCUUGCAAUAGUGGAACCAUACUUUCCAGCAGAAGCAGUGGGAAUUUGCAUUGGAGGAGUAAAUUGGGAGGGACUAGCUCCAAGAGAUGUAGGCCCCAAACUUCCAGGACUUAUGCCAAACCCAUUAUUUCCACGAGAUAAUUGGGGUCUCCAUCUAGUAUCUGGACUACAUCUAGGGAAUCCAACCUGAGCAUGCAAAUGAGGUCCACGUGGAAUAAAUGGCGAAUUGUACAUAUGUCUGGCAUUAACAUCACCAUAGCUUCCAUAACUGCUCCCAAGACCACCAUGAUCGGUAUAACUGCCAUGACUUCCCAGGCUGCCAUAACUACUACCAUAGGAUAAGGGCACCUUCGAAAGACGAGGGCUGUUAUAUGGGAGAGGUUCGUCCACAUUCCCAACCUGGAAAAGUUGAAAUGAAUCUAUUAACUCAAGAAAGAAUAUGAAACUAUAUGGGGAAAAAGGGAGAGAAACACAUAGCUAGCAAGCAUGCAAAAUAAUAAUAAAGAAUUCUUUCAGUGAGAAUGAGGAUACACAAAAUUGAAUAGACAUCACAAACAAAAUCAAGCCAGAUGGAGAUCAACCUGAGGUGAAAGACCAGCAGCAAACCAGUAACCGCCCCCUGGAUUGUGAUCAACCGCAAUAGGACCAAAGACAGGCUGCAAUACGCACUUGUUAGUCCGAUUUAAUUGAUCAGAAACAGUGUUCACAAGUACAAGCAAAAAAAGGCAAAGCUCUAGUUGCUAAAGAAUCUGUCUUGGAUGGAGACAGUAAUAAAACUCAGAAAGAUAAGCUGGUACAAAAUAGUCGUCCGAAGAUUCCUAUCAUGAAUUAUUUAUCAUGAAAACUAAGAUUGGAAGGCCAUACUUACAAUUCUCGGGGUCUCUGGUGGAGGCUUAUAAGGGCUUGUAAAAGGUUCACCAGUGAGAAAUGGAUGACAUGAAGCCUGAAAAAAAUAAUAUAGAAUUAUGAAAUGCUUUUUGAAGGCACAUGCAUGCCUUCAUAUACACCUAUUGGCAGCAAUAAGUAGUUUAGCAAUAAGACCUGCAACGGGGACCACCUUUUCACCGGAUCAAACUCAACAAGACCCCUCAAGAAGUCAAUCAAGGCCAUGCGAGUCAAAUUUUCUGCAAUAUGAUCAUGAUAUCAACCAGAUGCAGAAGGAUAAUAUAGUAGUAGUAGUUAUUUUUCAGUACCAAACAGGUGUUUAAAACUAACCUUUGGAGAAUUCUUCUUCAGCCAAGUUUUUCCUGUAUGGGUAGUUGGCAAUAAUGUCUUCAAGCUUUACAUAAUUGAAAUAUCGUUUCCCCAUUGUUGGUCUUUUAGAUUCUCUCUGAAAUAAAAACAAAAACAAGGAACACAAUGAGAAUUUAGUUUAAAACAUUGAUAUAUAAUUAGUAGAAUGGCUUAAGACUCACUGCUUCAUACUCCUCUUCAGUUAAUAUUCGGUAAGCACUAGACACUCCGUAGUAGGCUCCACAAUCUUCAAAGCGAUAGAUACCACCAACAUGUUUAAAGAACUUGCUUGCGUUUUUUGCAUUUCUAAGCAGAUCAUCAGGCGGUUGUCCACUGAAGAAUUUCAAAACACAUAAAGGAAGAAGAGCAUCAUGUUAAUCUGACUGCAAAUACCAUAGUCUUACGUGAUCCACCUUCACCGCAACACUAUUGUACAUCACAACUAGGGGCAUAAACUGUUGAGAAACAUGAACAGGAAUAAACCUUAUUUCAAGAUAUUUUCAUAAUAUUCCUUGUGUAUUCUUUGGUCGUUUAUUUAGACAGACUUCAUAAUUCAAAAUAAUUCUAAAAGUUAAGCUUGUUAACUCCAAAGGAAAAGAAAGAAAACAGAAAGAGAGAGACAAAAAAAAGGCAACCCCAGCAUUAAGUGCAAUUUCAAGAUAUUAGUGAGAGUGAAAUGUGUAGGCAAUAAAAAGAAUCGUGACAGUUAUACAAAUAAAUUUGGAAAAAUGUAAUGCAACGAUAGGGAAAGUGACCUACCCAAGUAUCUCUAUCAUCCUCUUAAGGAGAUCAUACUCUGAGGCUCCUGGAAAUAAAGGCAAUCCUAAGAAUAACUCAGCGACAAUGCAGCCAAAGGACCACAUAUCGAUGGCAGUAGUAUAUCUGAUGAUAAUUAAGAAUAGAAAAAAUGAACACUCCUAGUCUUUAACUUGCCAAAAGUUUAAAGUGAGUAUAACCAACACAAAUGAAGUUUAAUUUGCAGAAACAUUUUGUUUUUAUGCUCGAACAAAUAUGACUGGUUCUUAAGGUCCUCAUAAUUGCAUAAUAUUUAUCACUGACAUUAAUGAGAAGCUAUGUUACAAAUCUGACAUCAUUACAUCAGAAUGUAAAUCAGCACCUAAACCAAUAAAAGAAGUGCUGCCAUAUAAAAGAUGACAGCUGCAUUCAGAUCAGCAUCCAAAACAUGCUAUCACAAAAGAAUAAGCACAAGAAACAGAUAGAAGAUAUACAGGGAAAAAUACUUGCCAUGAAAAAUCCAAAAAGAAAAACAAAACAAAACAAAGCUAAAUUGCACAUCAAGCUGUCAUAGAGGAUACGGAUAACCAAGAAGAACUUCUGGAGACCUAUAAUAUCGGCUCUGCAGCAAAAACGCAAAAAACAAAAAAACAAAAAUCAAAAAGGCAUAUCUUGUUAUAAAAUGAAACCAGUCAACACUACCAACUUAGUUUACUCCUUAAGUUAACAUACACCAAAGGCAAACAAUAAGGAACUUAGUGGACCUGAAUAUAGGAGUAAAUUGUCCGACCCUCCAUGCAUGCUGAUCCAAAAUCAAUAACUUUUAUUUCUGGUGGUUUCACACUGAAAAGUCCAAAAAGCUCCAAUUAAGUUCGAACAAAAAGAGGAAAACAUCGAUACAAAUGAGGUUUCAAUCAGCAGCUCACCUAGCAGAUAUAAGUAUAUUUUCUGGCUUUAGAUCACAAUGUAUGAUACCGGCAUCUUUCAUGACAAUUAAUGCAUGUAAUAUCUGAAAACGUGUAAAAAUGCAAGGUCGGUAAAUGGAAAAAAAAAAGCAAUUAAAUGCUCAAAAGGCUCUCAAAUAAAAUUGUGACCUGUUUUGAGAAGAUCUGGACAUAGUUUAAUGACAAUCCUUUAAACUGGUUCAGUUUGAUAAGCUCAUACCUACAAAAGAGAAGUUUCACCACCAGUAUGAUUGAGAGUAGGUCAGCAGAAGUUGUUUGAGAAUGAAAAAAAUGCUAUAACAGCUAAGCACAAUUAUCUUACAGAUUUGAGCCAAGCAUUUCAAAAGUUAUACAUAAGUGACGUUGAUGUACAAAAUAAUCAAGAAUGCGGACAAUGUGAUGUUGGUCAUCAGGAUCAAACUUCUGAUUCAGCUGGAAGAAGUACACCCGAGAUGGUAGAGUCAAUUGCUUUUCUGGAUUUCUAAUUAAAACAAAAAUAUUUAACUGCCAAAGAGAUCAUUUUACCAUGUGCAAAAUUGACACCUCAACCUUUGCCUGUUGGUAAUAGGCAGGCUGGUUUUUGAUAAUCUUGACAGCAACAUAGUUGUUGGUUUCUGUAUCCCAACACUUGGCCACUUGUCCAAAUGUACCUUGGCCCAGAACAUCUUUGACAACAUACCUAGAGAUAAAAAAAGACGAGAUAAGUAAUUAUUCAUAUUGAUUCAUCUUAUUCAGAUUUCCCGGUCAGCUUUCUUUUAAGAAGAGAAACAGUAAAAGGUUAUACAGAUAAAAUAUCGAAAAAUUAAAAUAGAAUUUAUGGAGAGAACCAUAAAACUAUGUCAGAACAGUAGCACAGAAAAGAGACAAGAAUCUAUAACACAGUAUCAAGUAUCGGCAGUCAGUGCCGAAAGCUGAAACCAAACCUUCGAUUUGAUUUCAAAUUGACCAACACAGAGUUCACAUGCAAGAUGAGAUCAGAAUUCACAUUAUCGUGGCCAUCAUUCAGCACUCCAUCAGAUGGAUUAGUAAGGAAGCGCUUGGGGUUCAGUUCCUCAGAAUAUUUAAAAUUGGGAUUGCAGAUUUGGAAUGUUUCAACAAUAUCCUUGGUUAAUCUUGCCACAAGCUGCACAAACAAGAAUUAUUUUCAGUCUUGAACAAAAAAAAGAAAAAGAAAAAGAAUAUAAUCAAUCUAAGCCUCAAAGGUAGCAUAAAUAACUCAUCAGUGCAGGUAACUCAAGCAAAAAUCUACUCCAGCUACUGUCCAAUCUCAAAUGAAAAGCUACCACUCCCUUGAUAGUUUUUUAUCUACAAUUGUCGUUUGCAUUGCAUGUAGCUGUACGGCAGGCAUUGUUACACCGCCAAGGCAAAAAGACUAUCAGCUUCUCUGGGCAACCAACUAAUUCCUCUCUUCGCUAUAACUAGGAUGGAAAUAGGUUCGAAUUUUCUAAAGGAGCAAUCUCGAAAUGCAAAUUACAUCUUGCCUAUAUUGUCGACCAGCCAGACAAAGCCCCAUUGGGACCAACAAGUAACAAAUCAGCAUUCUUCACAGCCAGGGAUCGCCACCAAAGAAAAGGCAGCGAAGAGCAAUCUCAAUUCGAUUUAAAUUCAGAAAAAAUGAGAGCAAUUUAGAGUAGAAACACUCAAACACACCGGCCUCCUGCCGAUAACCCGAAUGUUGCUGGAUUUGGCCAUCGAAGGCUGAGGCGAGAUAUACUGACGAAAAGCCUUCGUUCCACACGGUAUCCACGACGAACUAGAACAUGAAGAGCUGGAGCUGGAAUUGGGAUUGGAAUUGGGAUUGGAACCUUCUGCCGUCGCAGCCUCCGUCUCGUCGGCGGCACCUUGAGAGCCAUCCUCUUUACUGAUCCCGCGCUCCUCCAUCCUGAUCAACGCCCCCUCACCACCAUCCGAUCCCCAGCACACAAACGCGCGCGCGCGCGCUCUCAAAGAGGAAAAGAAGAGGAAAAAAAAAGGAAGAAUCGGCUUAGCCCGAGUCCCUGAUGGCGGUUCGAUCGCCCUCAGCUGCCGAAUGCCAGUGGGGGUUCCGUCCCGUGAAAUCCAUCCGCAUCCUAUCGCUCCGUCAACGCCAUCGGAUUGGAAGCAGCUGCGGCGGAGGCGAAACCCGCAAUGCCCGAUCGAGAUCGGGAGCCCCACGCCCAGCAGAGGCCAACUACUGUUCCAAUCGGAUUCCAGAGAGGGGAGAGAUCUUUCUUCAGGAAAAGAAAUCGAGGGGAGAUUGCUGUGGUGUUUCUCUCUCUCUCUCUCUCUCCCUCUAGCUUAGCUAGGAUGGAACCUUCGCUCUGCUCGAUCCGGGAGCCCCCGCCGCCGAGAAUCCCCCUUUGUUUUCUUCUCCGUCUCCGUUCGCCCUCUCUCUCUCUCCUCUACUUUUUUUUGUUUUCUCUCUCCUCUUUUUUUUUUGUUUAUAUAUAUAUAUAUAUAUAUAGGGAUAAUUUCAUCAGUACCCCUCUAGGAGACAGUAAUUUCAUAGAUAGCCCUCUAAAUUAGAAAAUAUCAAGAAUACCCCUCUAAAAAGCAAAAAUAUUCAUAAAUACCCUUAAGCCUAACAUUCCGUUAAAAAAGUCAUCUAAAAUUCUUUAAAUNAAAUUAGUCAUUUUAUAAUUUUACCCUAACGUAAGUUAGAAUAAAGGGUAAUUGUGAUAUUUUUCUACCUUUGAAGGGGUAUAUAUGAUAUUUUUAAUUUUAUAGGGGUAUUUGUGAUAUUUAUAUGUUUAAGAGGGCUAGUGAUGAAAUUGCCCCAUAUAUAUAUUAUUUUUCCUCUCUCUCGCCGUAACAGCCGCAAUUAUUCAUAUGUCAUCGCACAUUUAACCCUGGUUAAGCAGCUUUCCUAAACUCUGCAUCCACCGUGGCAAUGGACUAGUAAAGAGGACCUCUUGGGGUUAGAAGCCUCCGUGGGACCCCGCUGGUCUUGUGGGAGAGUAGGUUUCUGGGUGUGGUCGCAGGUGAUGGCGUUCGCUUGUACCGAAGAGUUAUCCCUAAUGUGAGAUCUCUUCCGGAUUACUCGUCGUAACGAAGAAUAAAAUCUUCCGCUGAAGAAUCACUGUUAUCGCGUAAUUUUGGACGGCCGCUCAAUUAUUCGGGCCAAACAUUUGCCGUUGGAUCCCCGUCUGAUUUGAGAAUCCUUGUGAAAUUUCACUGUUCACAUUAUAUUAUUCUUAUUUUCGAGAAAGAUUAGUAUUAUUAUUGUUGUUGUUGUUGUUAUUGUUAUUGUUAUUGGUAAUUGGUCGUGGUGGGCUUGGCCCUGACUCGGGUGCGAUUGGGCCACACAGAACCGUCCAAUUGGCAUCCGACGGUUCGUACGAGGCGUGGUUGGAGCUAGCGGCGCUCGGCGCGAGCUGGCGAUGCACCGGACACAAGGGUGGGAUUGAAUUGGGGGACCCGCCGAGAGGGGGCUCGGGACAACAGAAUUUGCUGAGUCACACGUGGACGUCACGUGCGGUGGAGCAGAGGCGUCCAAAACCAUGGUGUCAGGUUGGACGACACGUGUCCUCAAUGCUGUGCCAAGUUUUAGUCUCGCUCUCGCGUGCCCUCCCCGUCGGCCGGAUACACGAGGGCAGUAGGAUGGCCUCAAUAGGAUAGAGGAUAGACACGACUAAGGCCAAAUUUAUUGUGGGCCGAAGAAGCUACCACUUUGAAGCUGCUCCGGCCUACAAGCACACUUUUCGGUAUAGUGGGCCCCAUCAGAUUCAGCCCUGUGAUGAGUGACCUACAAUUUCAAACAGGCCGUAAGCCCCUAACAAGACCACCGAGUCUCGCAAGUCGCAUCCACCCUCUAUAAUAAGCUGAAAUUUGCAAUGAGAGUUUAAAAAUACUACAUGGAUUUCGCUUCUGAGUAAUGAAGCUGCUAAUCAGACGACUAACCCGAACAAGCUGCUGACCAAGCAACAGGCCGGGCCUGCUGCCUGAAUCAAUACUCGGCGUAUAAUUAAUAGAACACAAGAAUGCAUGGAUAAUUCCGGUACAUCGUCACGGCUGGGGGCAAAACAUGCAACUGCUUUUCAUGGUUCCACAUCACCGUUGGUGUGCUCAAAUUCCCUGGCAUAGUAUAGUACACAAAAAAGAUACCCAAAGCAUUACACGUCUUGGCAAACCGAACUUUCUGAAUAACAUUCAAUUGAAGGGCUCUCUAUACAGUUUUUACAAAAUGAAAACAAAAACAAAAACAAAAAACAGAGGAAAAAAAAAAAAAAAGGUGGCGGGGAAAAAGUACAACCAAUAUUCUUUCUCAUCCUGUAGUAAAAUAUUUUUGAAGAAUGUUUCCGUAAUAAGAUUCUAAUGACCAAUGCAUUCCAGGGCAAUGCCCAUGAGUAAUCAAUUUCCCUAAUAUCCGCCACCGGGUAGAUAGCCCGAGGGUCCGAGAACUUGAACCAAGACAGCUGAGUUACAGUGAUGUGCGGAUUUCGGAGUACAAAGGUGGUCAUUGCCUUUCUCUACAGCAGGUGUAACGGGAUGGUACCCUUUUAAGCCACAUCAACCUUCUAUGUGGCAGCCAAGAACAGCGAGGGGGAAGAAGUGAUCACAAUACCACUUCACUUGCAUGGACAGUCGAUGGAUAAAUUCAAUGCCAAGACCUGCAAGUUGAUGAGCAAGUCAAACUGUUGCCGAGGAACAGGAUGACCACAUCAACUCUGCUGCCACCUCACCAGAUCUGCAGGCUAAUAAUGCACAAACAAAUACAUACUUGCCUCGUGUUCGUGCACCUGCUGAAUUAAUUAGCCCGGCAAUAAUAAUGAUAAUAAUAGCAACAGCUUAAAAACUUGAUGAGUCACCUCCGGUUCUUCACAAUGUUUCAUCAAAAUUAUCUGAGAUUCCUUAAAAUUCUAAACAAUAACUUCCCGAUUUAUAUUGGGCGGUCACCUAUCUUUUUAAAGGAAAAACAAAUCUUCUAAAGAAGACAAAAUGAAUUUCAGAUUUCAGACGCUAGUAUUUCUGAUCUGGGCUCUCUGAACUGUGCAAAUGAUUUAGUAUUGAUAAUGACUUUACAUAAAGUUACUGGUAAGGAAAUAUGUUGGAAAAUGAUUUCAAUGAAAAGAUGGCUAUGUUGUAUCCACAGUGUCGUGAUGUCAAAAUGUUCAGCGGAAAAUUCAUCGCUGGUAGAUACACGUAGAAUACAUGAUAUUUUCAUUAUCUUAUGUUGGAUUUCCCGAAAUGCUGCAAAAACACCACCCCCCUAACUGCUGCAUACGUGCCCAUGCCCUACUGGACAAAUGCGCAUGAUACAGAAAGUAUAUAUGCCAUUUUAAAACAAAAAUGAAACACUGUUCGUUUCACUAACAUAAUGUGAAUAGAUGAACAAUGCCGAACUUCUUAGAGGGGAAUAAAAUAGAAAAGCUUGCAAGUCAUAUUAGCCUAAUAUGCUUAUCGAUGGAAUCAUGCCAACAUGUCAUUAAGCUACAAGAAAAUAAAGUGCAAAAAGCAAAUUGAUAAGUAUGACUCCUACGACAAAUUAAGUAAAGAAAGGUGGGCUUAAACAAGGUGGAGCAUAUAAAAGACAUGUCUGCUGUUUCAGUGAUCAUGAGAUCUUUAUUACUACAAUUCUCACAGGUGUUGAGAAGGAAACUGUGGCAACCAGGGUCUCAAGUUGCAAUAUAUGCCAAGUCAUCAGUUUAGAGGUUACUGCCCCUUUUUUGGUAAAAAAAUGAAAGGGCUUUUUUUACACAGCCCCCUCUUUUUUUUUUUUGACAGAUGGUCCAAGCAAAUUUAUAUUUGCAUAUAUGGUCAAUCACCGUGUUUAAACACGGUUAAUUAAAUCAUCGUAUUCAUAUUCACACUUUAAUCCCUUCUUUUUAACUUAGGAGCUGUAAAAAAUAUAAAAGAAAUACGGUGAUUCAAUCACAGUAUUUAAACACGGUGAUUGAAUUACCGUGUUCAACUUAAAAACACCACCUAGGCGCUCGCGUGGUCAGGAGAUGGUUAUCUAUGCAAAUAUAAAUUUGUUAAAGCCAUUUGGUAAAAAAAAAAGUUUUGGGGGGCUAAAUACUAAAAAAAAGUCCAAAAUAAAAUAGAUGUGAUUGUUUUUUAUAAUAUUCUAUAAAGAAUUCACAAGUGCAUUUACUAUUUUCUAGUCGUAGGAAGCUCUACUAAUUUGGUUUGCCUUUGUUCAGUGUUGGAAAAAUUUUGCAUGGAGUAGAAUCCGAUGUUGAAGUAGAAGUCUGAACUAUGUGAUGCAAAUUAUUAAAAUUAGGAUCCAUAUGUUGAUAUGUAGAUGCCGUUUCCUCAAGCAAUUGCUGAACAACAAAUUUACUUACUUGACGGCUCAGCAGUGAGGCUACAAAUAUAUGUGCGUGUGUAUAUAUAUAUAUAUAUAUAUAUAUAUAUAUAUAAUGAGCUAAUAUUAGUAAAUCUGACAGCUCUAUUGUUAAGCAUUCUUCUCCUCCCAGAAGAUGUUGGAUCAUCUUCCACUCCAUUUUAUGUCUAUUCUUACCACAGUAAUCUAUAUCUUCAGGACAUAGCAUCAAAUGAAUUAUAGCAAUCCAUUUUAAGCAGACUACCUACCACAUCGGGCAUUCAUAAUAUUCACAAAUUAAGAUGACAUAAAGACCCCCCCCCCAAAAAAAAAAGCACGAGAAAAGAUCAAAAAUAUCUCUAGAAAAAGCAUCACAAUCAUGGACACACCGAUAUGCUUAGCUUAUCAUGAUUUAAUAAGUAGCAAUGAUGGACGGUGGUCUGCUAACUAAAAAUAAGGUGUGCAAGCAAUGAAGUAGAUGAUGCAGCGUGUUGAUGGGCAGACGCGCAAGAAGGAUCCCAAAUUGGGCAGAUUUACCCAUCACGCAAUCAUCGCCGACCCGCGGAAAGAAAGCAAGAUACAUAUCCAAAAUUGAGCAAAACAAGCAAACAUCCCGGCCCAGGGCAGGGGGUAGGGAGGUAGGGAGGGGCGUGACUAGUACUGUUAUCAGCGGAAAGUGACCGACCACACCUUUUAACUUUCUAAUAAAAGACCAAGCAAACAGCGGCAAACUUAAAAAAAAAAAAAAAAGUAAAGAUAUCACCCACCGAUCAACAAACAAACAAAACAGAACAUAACCACAAAAACGAAAUUAAGAAUCGCACGAAUCCGGUGCGGUACGAAGAUCUAAGAUAGGGAGGGGGUUUAUACGAUUGGCUGGAGAGCAUCGCAAUCCGGCUCCGAUUCAGUUGGUGCAAGGUGGGAUCCGGCUCGCUGUGGGGAUCGAGGGGGGAGAGCGAGAAAUCGAGCCGUUCCCGACCUGCACCAAGCGAAUCCGAGGCGGCGACGACCACGCGAACCCUAACCCUAACCCUAACCCUAGAGUGGAUUGGAUUGGAUUGGAUUGGAUUGGGGGUUGUGCGAGCUGGCGGAUGCGAGGAGGGGAGCAGGCCAGCAGCUCUUCGACAAUCAGCGUACGAGAUACGGCGCUGACGAGAAGGCAUAUUAAUAGCUGUAACGGACGGCCAGGAUCGUGACAAGUUGGUGUUUCGGAUCCGUGCGGAAAAAGGUCUCCCAGGAAGAGGGCAGCAGCCAGUAGGGUGGAUGUGCAGGUAGGUAAAAGUAUCCACGUCCAUCAUGAGCACAAUUUUUUAUUUUUAUUUUUUUAAUUUUUUUAAUUUUUUUUUAUUUUUAAAGGGUGGGGGGGAGGAGGGGUGUGCGGGGGUUGAACAUUCAUUUGAUUAUCGGAACGAGAAGCUUAUAACAAACUCACAAAACCCACAGACUAAUUACUUUGGAAAACAAAUUAAAUAAAUAAAUAAACUAGGAACUAGUUAGGAACUAGGAAGAAUGUUUUGCACUCGGAUCAUCUCUAUAAUUUCAAGCUCUUGGCAGAUUGCAGUAAGCUCAGCAAAAUGUAAGAGAGGCUGUGACACCGUGUGCUUGCCAUCCUUAGAAUUAACUAUUGGGAAAAUGUACAAUCUGGCGCCUCAUGAUCUUGUCUAUUUAAUAAUUACUACUAAUUACUACUAAUAAAUGGCAUCCAUGGCAGCCAUCCCCGUUCACAAUAAAUAGAAGAAAAUAGUUCAAAUGUAGCCCCGAAAGACAGGCUUAGAGCCCCACCAAUGUGGAUUGUGGACGCACAGAGUAUCUAUGGAUGACAUACACCAUGACCAGAUUGUCUAGUAUAAGUCUAGUCUAAUCUAAUUAGGAAAGGUUUCCCUAUAUUCAAGAACAAGGUGCAUGAAAGGAGAAGUGAAAGUGUUGGCAAAUCAAUUUGUUGUUAAAGAGCGUAUGAACCUGAUCCAGCGCAUUUUAGGGAAUCUCUCUCUUACAACAUCACAGAGGAUAUAUAUAUAUAUAUAUAUAUAUAUAUAUAUAUAUAUAUAUAUAUAUAUAUAUAUAUAUAUAUAUAUAUAUAUGUGAGAGAGAAGAGACAGAGGGAAAAUUUUGAAUUAGAAUAUUUUCAAAAGCACCAAAAAGUUUGUAGCCCUUGAAUAUAGUGAUGUAGCGGUAGGAUAAUUGUGGUAGGUGUUGGUAAGUAAAAUAGUAUUUGAUCUAAAUGUUAGAAACCUAAAAGCACUACACGAUUGGUGCUCCUAGGUGUAUUCUAGCUCAAUUCUAUAUAUAUAGGGAGAUAGUAAGGCUAAUGUGCUAUUAAGAGUAUAACAGUUUUUGUGCUCCUAAUUUUAUAAUCAUUUAUCAAUUUUGAUGAAUGAUUAGGGUGAAAAUAUAAGAGAAAUUUGAUGGAAGAAAAAUUAAGACACCUAAAUUCUCUCCUAUUUUUUUUCUCUCUCUCAUCAUAAUCAUCCAUCCAUAUUGAUGGAUGGUUAGGAAAUAAAGAGUAUAAGAACUGUUGUAUUUUAAUAGCAUAGUAGUCUCCUAUACUAUCUAUAGUACUUGGGCUCCGGUACUAAGUCUCGUUUUCGAUCUUAGGGUGUUCAAAUCAACGAUCCACACUGUUAAAACUGAUUUAGGGUAUUUAAAGUUUUUGAAAAUAAAAUUUUAUAUUUUUUCGACAUAGUUUAUUUUAUGAUCAAAUCAUUUUAAAAUUAUCAAUUUUCAAUGGCUACUAUGGCGAGUUUGGAGUUUAACGGUAUAGAAGAAUCUAAAUUUUUUCAAAUUUUGAUAAAAAAUACUUCAAUUUUUACUGUCCAUUUUGACAUAAUUUAUUUACUAAGUAAAUGAUGUAAAAAAAAAACUAAAAUUUUAUUCCUAAGAACUUCAUAUACCUUAAAUCAUAUUUAACGGUGUGAAUCGUUAAUUUGAAUACCCUAAGAUCGAAAAUAAAAUUAUAGUACCGGAGCUCUAUAUUAUAUAUUUUUGAGAGAUAGGUAGCACGCUACCUGUUUCGUUUAUUUUAUUUAGAAAUAAACUUACAAAAAUUGUGAAUCAACUAAGAUUCGAACUUGGGUCUCAGAUACCACCACCAAAUUCUUAUCACUUAUUCUAUGGACGGUCUGUAAUUUUAUAUAUAUAUAUAUUGAUUGUUUUGAGGUGAGGUAGGUAUUAUACCUAACAAACGCAAUGCCUAUCCUAUAUCCUCGGUCCAUUUACAUUGCACUGCAUCAUCGUAUGUCUCGUCUCUCUCCAGUCGGCACUGGCCAGCUGGACCUUAAAUAUAGUUGGUAGCUCCCCACCGAGCUCUAGCUAGCCUAAUUCAUGAAUCAUGAUUAGAGCUCUCAAGAUACUUUAUUAGCGUCUCGGGAUUGACUUGUAAGUGGAGAACUAAAAUUUCAUCAGAGUGCUCUUAUGCGCCGAAGGGCCCAGGGAUGUGAUACGAUCGACUUAUGAGAAUAAAAAAGGACAAAGAGCUAGAUGUUUUUAACUGUUAGAUAUUUUUUGAUUGAAAAUAAAAAAACACCAUGAAUACAAGUCAGAUUCAAAUAAACGAAAGGGAAGCCGAGUGUAACACAAGAUAGUGGGCUAAAAUAAGAGAGCUCACAGUCUACCUUCAUCUAGCAGUUAAAGCGGUGCAACUGGAGCUUGGCAUAAUUGGUAAUUAGAAAUAUCAAGAAGCUAGGAUUUUGAACAUUUGAUCUGUAAAGCAUUUGGCCCAACCAACCGGCCGUCCAUCCAGCAGCAGCAGCAGCAGCAGCAGCAGCAGCAAGGACAACAAAAACAAGGCCGUCCAUCCAACAACAGCAGAAGCAGCAGCAGCAACGACAACAAAAACAGAAACAGAGAAUCUCUGCCAACUCACUUUCGGUCCAAACAACAGGUAAAUGAGGAGUGCGGACCGCCCAUGGUUGGGUCCCGUCGCUUUGUCUGUCUGAGAUCCCCCGCCUCCUCCACGUCCAGCUCUCUUAUAGUCCUUCGAGAGCAGCCUGCUCGGCUCUCCAAUUUGGGAAGACAAACACACCUUUUCAACUGUAGCUUUACCUGACCACACGUUUAGUAGCUCAAUUGCAAGAAAUACGCUUACUGAGUUGAAGCAAAUGUGUGCCGCCAACUUGCUAAAGGAAGAAAAAGGAAUCAUAUAGACAAAUGUCCCUAGCACUAAGGUCAGUCAUCUCAGAAGUUAUCUUCCAAGUAUUAUGGACCUUAGAAAAUAUUAGAGCGAAUCGGUCCGUUGCAUUGCAUACACCGCCUUAAGCUACCUCCGGCACCAAAGUUCAUCCCGUGGUUCACGUUUUUAUUCUCAAGCAGUGAUUAGGCGACAAUGACCAUGCGGAUAGUAACCUACCUGAUCAUAUCCAUAUCCAAAGACUCGACGGUCAAGGACCAUGCGGUAUGUACAGUUACGCUAGUUGGAGUCUUUGUGGAGUUAAUUAGUCAAUUUGUAUUAGCGGGUACUGAGUACUAGUUUUCCUAAUUAUUAAUGGCAGUGGGGUUCUAACCAUUUUCUCCGCUUUCUUUUCUCUACCUCACCGUUCUGAAUUCCAUUCUUCCCAGUAAACUCUCUAACCUAUCCCACUUCUCUCAAUUUUUAUUGAAUUGUGGGCUUGCAACCAUGUGCGUCUGUGCACGAGGCCGCAGUGCCUUCUGCACUCUUAUGAAUGAAGUGGGUCAAGACAUUGCCUCAAAAGAGAGGCAAAACACCCCCCCCCCCCCCNAAAAAAAAAAGAAUUUAGUUUUACUCAUUCACGGUAAUUACAGCAUCUGAUGAUUACAUUCACACAAAGAGACAAGCCAGCCUCCAACAUGGAGACCCCACACGAGACGAAACGAACCACAAAACAGGCCCGACGAACCGCAUGAUGCACAAAUCAAAAUCAACACAUUAAUAUACACUAGCGACCAUCAACAAGGCCUUAACAAAAAAGCAUGCUUCCCACGGCCCCACCCAACCUACAGCAAAGCGAUGUCUCACAACAGAGAUCAGAUAAUGUUAAAAUUCAGUUAAAAGUUCAUUUAUAGAACUCUCAAGCUGCAAGGACAAUGAUCACAAUAAGCAGCACAAUACCAAAAAUCACCAAAAGCAAGCACAUCUGCAACAAACACACCAACAAUCAGCUGAAACAGACAAAUAUUAUUCAUUUUGAGAAAUAUUCUAGACCGCAUAUUGGGCAUACCAGUGAUGAAUUUGACUUCUGCGUCUUGGAUGCUUUUGCAAGUUGGGUAUUUGCCUGUGCAGUAGAUGCAGCAGAGUUCUCAAUGUUGGCAUCGAUGUCAUCUGCAGGAAAACAAUGUGACAUUCAUUGAGAGACUUUUUCAUUCCCAAUGGCAAGGGCGGACGGGUGUGUGUGUGGGUUACCAAUCAUGGCUCCUUGAUCAUGGACAAGCAUGGCUAGGUCCUUAAAAAUCUCAUUCACUUCACCAAUCUGCUGCUGAAUCUCCUGAAUGCCUUGUUCUCGCUCCUCAAUGAUAGCCUCAUUGAAAGCAAUCUCAUUAUCCAAUAACAAAACCUCUUGUCUGCAACAUCCCAUGAAUUUAAAAUAGGAGGGUUAAUCCAAUUACAAACACUUCCUGUGGACGUUGGAAACAUAGCAAUGUUAGCUGCUGGAUUUUGUCUACAAUUGUCGGGUGCGGCUGAAAGGAAAGCAUUAAAGACUUGCGCAAGGGUUGGUUCAGUCGGGAUGUUUUCAUGCUCACUGUAUUCAGACAACAAGGAAAAAAGCCCGAGCUAAAUUGAUAUAUCCAACUAAUGAAGGCACUUCACUGGUUAACUGGCAGGUCAGGCAGGAAAUCUGGAUUAUUCAAUAGUGCCACCGUUUUCAAUGGAGAAUUCGAAACAUUGAUCAAAGUGAAAUCUGGAGUGGCCAUUACAAUGGGAAAAGAGCACAAGCAGAAUUAAAGAAACGAAAGCCUCCUAUCAAUUUAACAGACAGAGGACCAGAUUGAAAUUAUCAGUCAGCACUGUUUUGAGCUUCAUAACUGAAACAAUCGACGAGAAAUCUGUAGGGCAACUAGAUAGGAUAGCACAAGGCAAGUGAGAUGUCCAAUGUAAGAGCGCUGAAUAAUUGAGAGUGUGGCAGCUCAAGGGUGAAAAACCAAUGUACGAGAAUUUUCUAAAAAUUGAUCAAAACUUCUCAGUGCAUAGCUCCUUGGGGCCAAACAACAACAACCAUACCUUAUAUCAAGUAAGCCACUAAUGAUAAUUAUAUAUAGCAAAACAAGAGCAUGGUAUACAGACCUCCUUGAUUCAACAAGCAAUGCACGUUGUUCAGGUGUUUUAUCAGGACGAACAUUUAUCUCACUUGCUGUGUAGCUGUAUCAAAAUGACAAGAGACAAGAUUCACAUAAUAAGUUGGCAGUUAAAAUUCAUUGCAAAGAAAUGAAACAAGUGCUUUCCUUAUAUCCAAAACAAGUGAGGCUGUGAAGACGAACAUGACCAGGAAGCUUCAAAAUAUUCAAUUUGUCAAAGUCCUGAACCCUUUUGUACAACAGAAAUAUCGAACAAAAUAUUCAAUAAGAGCUAAAUAAGCUACACCGCUAGGAUCCAGCCAAGUAACACUACCUUGAAGGAAGCACUGCUUGGGGAACAAAUGAAGUAUAAGCCGUCUCCCUCUGAACUGCAAGGUUUUGAGCUUUUUGGAACUCUUGCAUAAUUGCUUUGAAAUCUUUUGCAAGCUUCGCAUCAGCAAUCUUUUUGCUUGCCUGCAGUGAAAAUAGAGAUUUCUUAGAACAACAAAGAAAUAUAAGUAGAGGAUAGAGUUAUAAAUAUAACCUGAUAUUAAUAAAGUUAACGACAAACUGCGAAAAUUGCACAAUGCUGAAACCACUCAUCUAUAAACUUGUAACCCUUUCUGAACAAAAGAGCACCUCAAAUUACAAUAGAAAUAAACGCUUGGAAACUACAACAUGGUAAAGGAACAUAAUAGAGGCUAUGUACAAAGCAGGGAACUGGACCUUGAAGCUUCAGAAGGCAUGGGAACUCAUCAUCUGUCAUUAACAUAGCCAAAGGGCAAGCCAGAGAAUUGUGAAAAUUAUUCAAAAAAUUGAGCCGCACAAAUUAGGCAGAGGGAAGAACAAGAAUCCUUGCAUAACAAGAAAGAAAGUUUUUUCUCCUGCGCACUCUAUCAUGCUCUUCCUAGUAAAAGAUGGUAACAACUCUGUUGAAAGCACUAGAGAUGAACAAUUCAAGUCAUAGGUUGAAAAAUUGAUAACGAAGUAAGUUACCACUGAUUUUUUGUAAGCCAUUGCACGAUUAGCUUUUGCUUUUGUCCAGAUGCACCUUGAGAUUUUGAGAGAGUACUUGAAGUGAGAGCAAGCAAGAUUAAUACAUAUAAACUAGAUUUCAUUUUAACUGUUUGUAGGGCCCACAUAUAUUGGAAUUCAGCCCACACUAUAAGAAACUUGUAUUUUAUCGAGCAACAAGUAAGCAAUUUGAUCUGGUUAGGGCCUAAUGCGGUCAAGUUUAAUUUAGGGUGCUCUGGAUAGCUCACUUGCAUCAGAACAGCAACUGAGGCUUGCAAAUCAUUCAAAUGUGGAAUCAUGCGUUCCAUUUAUAAGAUCAAAGAGACAGAGUGGAUAAGAAGAAAAGGUUCUAAUAAGAUACUUACGCUGAUUUCGCUGUUUUUAUCUGCUUCACUAGCUAGUUUGAGUUUGUCCGUGGUAUCUUUUAUUAGCUGAAGAAUAUGUACCCGUGUUUUGUGCCUGCGAGAAGGACAACAUGAAAUAUUGAAUUGGGACAGAAAACAAAGUUUCACAUGGAAUAGUUGGCGGAAAAUUCAGCAAUAUAGUUGAUUGUCAACAAACAGCUGCCAAAAGAACUUUGCAAGCACAUUGCAUCUCGGACUGAGACGAAAAGCAGAGCUUUUCAAUGUUACUCGGGACAAAGAUUGAGGGAUCAUCCGCCUCAACAAAUAAAUAGACCAUUAAAAUAUCAACGCAGGUGCCUUAUGGUUGGCCUUUUCCAAAAGCAAUAAGCCUUGCCAUCUUGAUGAAGUGCUCUAUCGCGUCGCGAUAUGUUGGCCGUGCGGCCAAAUACAGCCGCAGAAUAAAAGACCAGGUAAAACUCUAAACCUGUCGAAAAGAAUUUAGGAGAGAAAGAUGUUGGCCUUCCGUGGACUUCCUCUCGUUGAAAAGGAACGGACACUAAAUUCCGAUGGAUAAGAAACAUCGUCGAGAUAAGAAUCAAAGUACAGAUCAUUCGGUAAUUAAUCACUAGCCAAAGAAAAGAGUUUUUUUUUUUUGUUUUCAGCGAAGAAAAAUCAUUUCAAGAUCAGGGAGAAACAACCAAUACCAGGAAACGAACCAAUCUAGACAAUCUGACAUUUUGACCUGCAGAAGUAACAAAAAAAAAAAAAAAAAAAAAAANNNNNNNNNNNNNNNNNNNNACCAAUACCAGGAAACGAACCAAUCUAGACAAUCUGACAUUUUGACCUGCAGAAGUAACAAAAAAAAAAAAAAAAAAAAAAAAAAAAAAAGGAGGAAAGAGGAAGUAAAGGGAAGUUGCGGACAGCUUAUCGCGGAGGUCGGGCGUGUCCUUGGGGGUGCCGAUGGUGUUGACGAGGCGCUGGAAGGUGGCGACGGCGGUGGUGAUCUGGAAGACCCCCGACGCCACCGCCUGCGUGGAUUCCUUGCCCUUCCUCCCGUUGACCGCCACAUUCCCCCACCGGCCGCCGCCGCGCCCCGAUUCCAGGUCCUGGAAGCUCAUCCUCCUCCUCCACCUCCUCCUCCUCCUCCUCCUCCUCCUCCUCUUUCUUCUUCUUCUGAUAAUGAUGCUGAUGAUUUUAUGAUGGCGAUGACGAUGAUCUUUUAUCUCCUCCUCCUCCUCCUCCUUUUCCUCCUCCUCCUCCUCCUCGGGGAAAAACACCGUCCGAUUUCUUCUUCUCCUUGACGACGACGAUGUUAUCUCUCCUCCUCUUCCCCGAAACAAAGGUGCGAAAGAAAGAAACCCUAGGUUGAACGGCGACGCAGAUGGUCGAAGAUGAUGAUUCGAACGCACGGAACGGAGAUGAAGAUCUCGGUGGUAGUGGGGUUUACAUUACAUAUGGGGCUUGUUUGGUUCGCCCUUCUUUAUCUAGGACGGUUCGCUCUUUUAUUACCUAGCAAUCGAAGGAAUAGGCGAAUCCAUUUAAGUAUUUGAUAUACGAAAAUUAUAUUUCGAUUUCAAUUUUUUGGUCAAUGGAAAAUUUUCAAUCAUUGCUUUUUUUUUUUUCCAAUCCUGCAGUUUGAAUUCCAGCGGAAAAAGAUGCACUUUACAAAAAAAAAAGGAAAAAUAAAUAUCUCAAUUAUAUUUUAUAUUUUAUAUUUUAAAAUUAAAUUCAUUUUUUAACUUAAAUUUUUAAUUAAAAUAUACAUUUAAAUUUAGAAUUUAAAUUUUUAACUCUAAAUUUUGAUUUAAAAUUUAAAUUAAAGUAUAGCCAUUUUGAAUUUGAUCUAUAAAUUUAAAUUUAUAAGUUUGAAUUUGAAUCAAAUUAAAAAUUAGUUUUAUAUAUUUCAAUUUAGAUUGUUAUUCUGAACCAAAUAUAUUGAAAAGUUUUAUGGUUUCAUUUUUAAUUCAUGUCCGUUCCAAUUUAUGUUCUGACUUUAUUUUUCAUUUUGAACUGAAACAUUAUUAUUAUUAUGUAAAUUACAAUAGUGAUUCAAACUGUUUGGUUCAAGUAUAAAGAGAAGAAUAAGGACCUUAUUCCUCUCUUUAUUCCCAAAUAAAUUUUUUUUUUGUCAAUUCACCUCUUAACGGCUUAUCCUUUUACUUCGACCUCUCCUGAUAUUCCUACCAAAUUAAUAAUAAAAUAUAAUUUAAUUAAUGUAUUAUAUAUUUUUUUUUGCUAAUGAACUAGAUAAAUAAUUAACUGCUUAAUUUGUUACUCAAAUAAAUAUUUUAAUUAACUAUUUGAGUAAUUAAUUUAUUAUUUUAAUUAAUUUGCUAAUUAAAUAAUUAAUUAUUUAGUGUACUUAUUCAAUAAUUAGUAUUUAUAUUGAUUAAUUAAUUAAUAUUUUGACUAAUUUAACUAUCUGAUUGUUAUUAAUUAAUUAAAUAAUUAAUUUAUUAAAUUACUUGUGAUUAAAUAAAUAUUAAUCACGAAUUAAUUUAUUAAUUAAUAUUUAGGGUUAUUUGGCAAUAUUUAUGAUUAAUUAGUAAAUUAAAUAAGUUGAAUUAUUAUUUAAUUAAUAUUUUGCAGUAAUUAAUUAGGUAAAAUAUUAUAAUGUUAAAACUAUAAUUAUUCUUAUUCUUGUUAUUCUAAUCUAAAAUUAUCCAAACGUUAUUUUUUUUAUUUUCAAGAAAAAUAUAAUUUUCAUUCAAAUAUAAAAUUAAUUUUAUUUUAGCUUACUCCAAGAGUUGUACCUAUCUCAGGAAUAGUCUAAAAUAGCUUAUUACAAAUAAAAAAUGCCUUAAAAAAAAAACAACGGAGAGGGAAUAGGCUUACAUAGACAGGUGACGAUUAUCGGGCUGGGCUCACGUACUAGAGCCUUAUUGUUUAGAGGGUAAGGGCCCAUGCUAGCCCAUCUUGCUUUUUCUCUUCCCCCAAUUCACGUCCUCGUAUUUUUCAUUUAUUAGAUUAUGUUUGGUUCGAAUAUGACAGAAUUGCGGGCAAUAUGUAAGGAUUACUGUAUUUGAUUCAUUCGGUAUAUAAUCAGGUCAGUAAUGUAAUAUUACAAAUGAUACAAAAUUGAACCGAAAAUAUUAGGGGCUGUGUAUCUUGGAUUAUUGAAGGCGGCUAAUCUUAAAAUUAUAAGUUUACCCCUCCAACUAUCGAAAUCCUUUCAAUACGUUAUUUUAAACAUUUUAAUUUAAAAUUUUGAAUUGCCAACUUUUAAAAUUUAAAAUUUAAAAUUUUAAUUUUAAUUUUUUAUUUUCAAAUUUAAAUUUUUAAAUUUUAAAUUUUUAAACUUCAAAUUUCAAAAUUUCAAUAUUACAUUUUUAAUUUUUAAAUUUUAAAAUUUUAAACUUCAAAUUUCAAAUUUUAAUUUUUAAAUUUUAAAAAUAAAUUUUAAAUUUCAAAUUUAAAAUUUAAAAUUGACAAUUCAAAAUUUUAAAUUAAAAAUUUUAAAAUUUAAAAUUUUAGGUUCAAAUUUCAAAUUUCAAAUUUGUAUUUUAAAUUCCAAAUUUUAAAAUUAGAUUUUAAAAUUUAAAAUUUAAAUUUAAAUUUAUAUUUAAAUUUUAGAUUUUAAAUUUAUAAAUAUCAUUUCUAAAUUUUAGAUUUUAAAUUUAUAUUUCACAUUUAUAUUUUAAAUUAAAAUAUAAAAUUUUAUAUUUCUAUUAAAAUUUAAAAUUUUAAAAAUUUAAAUUAUUUAAAAUAAACUUUAGUAAAAAAAUUAUUUGUAAACAGUAAAAAAAAAAAAGUUUACAAAAUAUUNCGACUAAAGACAAUCUUAUAAUAGUCUAUAUUUUAUUGUUAAGAUUAUUAAAUUUUAUAAAUUGAACAAAGUAAUAAAAUAUUAUAUUAAAUCAAACGCGCUAAUACAGUAUCAAUAGUAAUUUUUUUUAGAAAUUCAAAAUAUUUAAAUAUAUCGAAAUACUUUAUAAUAUUAUAUAACUCGAACAAAAUGCAGUACUAUUGUUAUUCCAAUAAUAAUAAUAAUAAUAAUAACAGUCAAAAUAAUCCGGUUCCCAUAAAUAAACAUAAAUACAAACUGAUACUAGGGUCGAACCGGGACCUUAUCGUUAGCGCAAGCACGGGCCCAGGCAAUUUGAGUCCGAGUCUGUUUCGGCGGACCGCCCGUGGAGCGGAAGCGAGAGCGAGAGAGACGGAGAGAGACGGAGAGGAGCGGAGAGGAGAGGAGAGGAGAGGAGCCGCGGUUGAACCUGGAAAGCAGGGGCGAAGAGUUCUGCCGCGGUUGAUCGUGCUCCCUCUCUCCCGCGCGAUCUGUGUCCUGGGAUUUGGCAGUUGAAAAGGUCGAAUGGGUCGACCUCCGCAUGGCGGCGGCCCCGUCUUCCGAUUCACCUUCAACGAGGUAAACCCCUCCCCCCUACUCGUCUACUUUCCCGCAGUUUAGCUUCCCCGUAUCUAUCUAGGGCUGGUCGCUGUUUAGACUUUAUUUGGAUCCACCAAAUAUCUUAUUCCGCAUGUUUUCAUUAUUUACGUGAGAAGGUUGUACGAUUAGGCCGUGUUUGGACGUCGGAACAAGUAGAUAACUUAUUCGAUAUGAAAACUUUUCUAAUAUCAUUGUAAUUAAGAAGUUUGAUUUUUGUUCUUUAAAGGUUUUGUUAUCCAUAAUUUUGUCGAAUAGUAUAUUUGACCUAUAAAGUCAUAUAUCUUAUUCAAAAAGAUGAUUUGAAGACUGAAUAUGAUAUUUCAUUUUAAGCAUUUGAUCGCACUCUUUAUCUACAAAAUGUAUCUAUCAAAUGUAUAAAUUUCUUGAGUAAAUCAAGAGGAUAUACCAAACGAGAUAUUCAUACAUCCAAACAGGACCUUAGUAGAUGAGGAGCGUGGCCAAAUGUCUAAUGUGAAAAGCUAAUAUAUUUAGUAGACCAGGAGUGUGAUCAAAUGUCUAGAAUUAGAUACUAUAUUCGGCCUUCAUGUCAUCUUUUCGGAUAAGAUAAAUCAUUUUGUAGGUGAAAUAUACUAUUCUACCAAAUCAUGAAUAUCAAGAUCUUCCAAGGAGCAAAAAUUCAACUUUUUUUUUACAAUACAAGCAAGGCCUUUUUGUUCUUGCGUCCGGUUUUUCAUUGGAUUUCUAAAGUUCUCGCUUUAGGAUAUUGACCAGUUUUUCAUUGGAUUUUCCAAUAUAAACACAAUAAGUUUCAUUUUUAGUUACGCGUCCUUCAUUUUCCAUUGGAAGUUGAUAUUUUCUCCCCAUAAAAUAUGAGAGAGAGAGAGAGAGAGAGAGAGAGAGAGAGACAUUCCUUUUUUACUCUUUAUCACCUUACAACACUAUGUAACGUAGGUAAUCUGGAACUGUUCUCGCGCGCUUUUCCAUGUUUGUGUUUUUGCUGAGACUGCCUCAGACAGACCAGACGCCUGAGCCGUCUCUCAUCUUGCCAAAUGUGUCCAAGUUAAGAAUUCAUAAAAUUUCCUGUAUUGUUGUGUUGUUCGGCAUGAAUUUGGUCGGACCCGUUUGGAACUCAGCUAAGCAGAUCCAUUUAAGCUCUAUGUGGACUUAGUACAGUGUGUAUAACACUGACAUAAUUACCACGAGUAAGAUACUGCUGCUAUUAUAAUCUGUAUAACACAAGUUUAUCUAGUAAGUCCUAUUUUUAGGUUGUUGAGAUGGAAGCACGCCUGGAGGAGGUAAAUAAUGCUAUACCUGCUCGUCAUGUUAUAUGUGCCCUUGCAGAGAAGUUCAGGUAUGUGCUAACAUCUAGCUUAUCUGCGGUCACCUUCUGCUUUUUCAAUAUCUUUAGUAUUUUAAGACUUAAUACUAAUGAGCAUCAUCUGCCUUAAGUGCAUCUCCUGAACGAGCAGGAAAGAUUGCCGUCCAGCCAAAGCAGGUACAAGCUUGCCAAUUCCCUAUAGCAAGAACAAACCCCUUUGGAAACUUCCGCUCAUUCUCAAUGUUGUUGCAGGUGUGGAACUGGUUUCAAAAUCGUAGAUAUGCACAAAGAGCCAAAUCUACUAAGGCGUCUGCAAAGCUGACUGUCUCACCUAUGGCCCAGGAUGAUUUACCUUCAAUCAGAAAUGUUGUUCCUCCUGUUCCUGUUCCUACUGGUGCAUAUCGUACACUUGAUUAAUUUAUCAAUAUCAGGAUAAUACUCAUUGACGUUUCCUUCAUGACAAGCUAUUCUUACUUUGUGAUAUGCUGCUUAAUGCUUUAUCCAUGUUUGAAAUUUAUUUCACCCAAUAUUUUGUAGUUAUGGGUGACCCUCUCAGGUUUGGUGCAGUCUGUUUAGGAAGGGUCUAGUUGGUUCUGGGUGGGGCUAGUGUGAAUUCAAACUAGUUUGGGCUGAUUCAAUUUUCUGUAAAUUUGCAUUAGAUUCGGCCUUUUUGUUUGCCGGUGUGAUUUGGCCUAACUUAUGGACAUGCUGAGGGUUCUAUGUUCGCUGUUGGAUUAUAUAGCUUUCUUUUUUUUUGGGUACAAUCUUCGGUUUUGAAGUUCUCUUUCAAUGAAAAGGUUUCAACUCUUGAGAAGAAGAGGACGAAGUUACAAGAGGAGGGGCACUUAUAAGGAGGCAAUCAUUUUAACAUCUGUAAAUAGCUGUGACCCGCUUGAGAAUCCAUCAAGAUUCUCAAAUUUUUUUUGUUACAUUGAUUGUUUUGUUCUUCUAGGAGAUCUUUGUUUCUUUUGCUUCGAGGGAAAAUCUGCUUAUUGAUGUUCAUUUGACAACUUUUUAAGUUACCAAUGGUACUCAAGUUUUCCUCCUCUUCUGUUAGUUUCUGAAUUUUGUUUUUACUUCCCCUUUGUUCUUGAGACACUGUAGCCAUAUCAUCAACCAACAGAAAUUGUUGUUAAUUUGUUGAUUGUUGAUUUGCAGCGUUUGCUGUUUUCCUUUGUGCCUAAAAUCACCUAUUUUUAAGUCCUUGGGUUCUAUUGCUCUCUAACUUAUUGUUAAGCAUCUUUGAGACUUUUGUGAUUCGUAACCAUCAAAUGCAGGAAGAAAUUCUCUGGAGAAUGGCCAAAUGGAAUUUGAAGCGAAGUCCGCUAGAGAUGGGGCAUGGUAAGUAGUCAAUUUAUGUGUGAUGUUUUGUCUAAGUGAUGAUGUUGUGUCUAAGUGAUCAUCAGAUAAUACCUUCUUCCUCCUUUCAUUGAUAGAUCAAGAAAAAAUUAGUCAUCAUCUAUGCCUUCUUCUAUGCUCAAUCUUCCCUUCACAAAUAUUGAAGGCACAUGUUUGCAAGAGCAUAACAGUCAUUUUGGCAGACAACUCUCAACCUUUAUUUGUAAACUAAUGGUAGUCAUAUUUUGGGAUCAUGUUACAAAUUUGUAACAUUUAGGGCUUGUUUGGUUCAAGGGUGGAAUUGGAAUGGAUAAUAGAAUGGGAAUGAAUUGGAAUGAUAAUUGGAAUGACCCACUCCCCCAAGACGUUUGGUUUAUUUAUGGAUUGGAAAUUAGAAUGAGUUAUUCAAAUUUCAUUGUUUGGUUCAUAUAAACUAAAAAAAUUAUAGAAUACUAUAAUAGUAAUUUUACUCUCAAAUAUAAAUUUAUAUUAUUUAAAAUUUAUGAAAAAUAUAAUACUAUUCUCUAAUAAGUUUUCCAAAAAAAAUAUCAAAUUUAUUUUUAAAAACUUUUAUUGAUGUGGGUUAGGGAUAGGGUUUUGAGAGAUGAUAGGUUUUUUUUUUUUUUUUGAUGAGAAAGGGGUGAAGAGAAGGAGGGUGAGAUGGUCACAUGGGCUUUGGGCUUCCGGAAUGAAAUCUCAAUCCGGGCUAGAAGACCGGAAUCAAGUUGAAGGCUAAUGGGCCAUUCCCAUUCCAGUCCGGAAUAGGAAUUCCAAACCGAUUCAUACAAACCAAACAAAAUUAACCGGAUUUGAUCAAACCGAUUCCCAUUUCAUACCCAAAAUAGAUGAACCAAACA
Molecule: long non-coding RNA, 52577 nt
Filed under: Ananas comosus (pineapple)
Lineage: Eukaryota; Viridiplantae; Streptophyta; Magnoliopsida; Poales; Bromeliaceae
Description: long non-coding RNA (ACOM_LNC006452)
Rfam family: U2 spliceosomal RNA (bases 24188-24386)
Source: RNAcentral